AAAACUAAUUCUUAUAUUUUUACACUUAGAAUUUAUUUGUAAAAUUUGUUCAAAGUUAGAUACUAAACUAGAUAGCACUUAAACUUUGUUAUUUGAAAAUAUUUAUCAAAUCUUCAAUAAUAGUUGAAUAUUUGAGUAUUUUUUCUAUUUAAAUAUGAAUCAUCAUUAAUUUCUUAAAGAUCUAUCAACCACCUCAUAUAAAGCAUAGAUCAUUCUUUGUAACAAACACCAUUUGGCCAAUGUUAAAUUUGUGAACCAACUUAAAAAAUUUGCUUGUAGUUUGACUUAUAAAAUAUUAUAUGCAUAAAUUUAUAUCUAUAUAUAUAUAUAUAUAUAUACAUAUAUAUACUAUAAUUUAGAAUUUUUAAAAUUGAUUAUAAUUAUGAAUGUAUAAAUUAAUUUAUACUUUGAUUAGAUAUCUUAUUAUUAGUUUCAGCAACAUAAAUAUAAUAUUUGGCACACUUUAUAUUAUCAUAAAAAAAUUUAUAUAUAUAUAUAUAUAUAUAUAUAUUUGUCAUACUAUAAAUGAUUUUGAUGUUAUGUUGUUACUUAUGAUUAAUAACAUUUAACUCUAAUUAUUAUUCUAUCUUAUGUCUUUUGAAAGUAAAUAGUUUUUUUUACUAGAUCUUUUAUUAUUUUUAUUAAUACUAUUUUUUUGAAAAAUAUAUUUUAUUUAUUUUUUCAUCUUUAUAUAUAGUAAAUCUUUUAUAAGUUAAACAUAAGAGAUAGAUGGUCUUUAAUACAUAUUUUUUAUAUAUUUAUAUAUAUAUUUUUCUGCUUCUUCUUCUUCUUACUAAUUCAAAACAUGUUAGGAUUAUUUUGUCUUAUUUUUAUUCAAAUAUGAGAAUUAGAAUUGUUAGUAUUGUAUAUUGUAUGACAUCAAUUAUAUCACCUUUUUAUUCUAAUAAGUUAAUAAACAUACAAAUACACAUUAUUAUUUGAUAGAUUUUAUUUUACUUUCAAAGUAAUUAUACAUUACAAUAAUUUAUCUUAUCUUAUAGAUAGACCAAUUUCUUUGACAUCCAUUAUUUCUUCUUAUAGAAAUUAGAAUGUUUUUAGAAUAGCUAAAUUAUUUGUAUUUUUUAUCUUAUAAUUUUAAUUAAAAAUACAAAACUCCAACAAUGGCAUCAAUAACAACAUAAGUUGGAAUGUAUAACUAUGAUUAUUUUUUUAUUAUAUAUUAUUAUAUAACUAUGCUUAAGAUAAUACCUUACAAAAUCUAUAUCAUUUUUUAUUAUGUCAAAGCUUUACAAUUAAUUAUGCACUAUUUAAAAAAAAAAUCUUUUAAAUUAUUCAAGUAUUAUUUAUGACAUGUGAUGCAAAUUGUAUCACUAUAUAUUAAUGUAUAUUAUAUAUUUUUUAUGUAAUAAUUUAAAGUAUCAUAUUUCCAACACAUUUAUUACAUAGUAUCACAUCAUAUGAUUAUUGUUUUAUUAAAUCUAAACAAAAAAAACAUUCCUACCCCAAUAAAUAUUUUAAAUUCACAGACAAAUUGUAUUUCAUAGAUUAUAAACUUUUGGUGUGAUUUUAAAAACCAAUGUUUUGAAUUAACAAUAAAUUAAUGAGCAAAAUAAAAUAAAAUAAAAUAAGAUAAAUUAUUGAAAAAUAUAAAUCAUAUAUAAUAUUUAAGAUAUAAUAUGUCUUUGUUAGUUUUGAUGUGAAUUAAAAUUUUAGGAAUACAAAAUAAAAAGAAAUCUUGAAUACAAUUUAAGCAGUACAACUAAUUGCAAUCUUAAGAAUUUAAUAAUUUCAGAAAUAUGUAGAGUUUUGAAACAUUCUAUAAAUCAUACUGUGCAACUUUUAUUUUCUUAAUUUUUUGUUUUUAUAAAUGUAUUAUAUAGUGACAACAAUAACAACCACAACAAAUCUUUAGAUAAUUAUGAUUAUUAUUUUUUUCAUUUGUAAAAAACUUUGGUGCAGAAUUAAGCGACAUGAAAGAAGUAUGCAACAAGUGAUGGACAGUUUAAAAAAUCACACGAACAAGAGUGUGAAGAAAUCUGAGCGAAUAUCCUGGCACGAGAAAGAGAGAUAGAAAGAAAGAAAAAAAAAAGAAAAAAAAAGGCAAAGCUGAGUACAGUGUGGAAUGAAAACCUCCCUCACUUUCUACUUGCAACACACAUAAAGGAAUAUGAAUCCGAGGCACGUCUUAUUCAAAUAAUUGCAAUCUAGGAAUACACGCCAGGAUACAUGAUGUGAACAGCAACAGUACUGGAAUCCUGCAGCAACAAUCAGAUAGAUUAUUAGCGAGACCUGUUCAGAGCUUCAUCUGCAGUCGCUUCAAGUUCCAUUCGUAGAAAGGUCAAGCAAUAAGACUUCUCACCGACAAUCAAAAGUGCCGAGAGAAGUGCAAGGAUUACCCAUUUUGAAGAGCUGGGUGGGGGCAUAGCUAUUGACAGCAAGCAAGGAAGGAAGAGCUGAGCUACUUCAUGGGGGUGCAUUAUUCUUGCAUGUCUGUGCGUUGUUUGGACCUCUGUACACUCUUGGAGAACCUGAUCGCACCGCGUGACUAGCACUGCGUGAUUCUUCGAUGCUGAGUUUCAUCGGUUGCACUUAAAAUAAGUAAUAGCUGUUUAUCUGCAUUUGGAUGUGAAUCCAGGGAGCGCCGUGAACUGUUCUCCUGGAGAAUCACAUCUUGCUGGGUCGACAAUCCCGCCCACUCUUCACAAGCAUCACGUACAUCCCUCGAAAGAUUUGAUGCUCAUGUCUCUGGUAGCUUGAGUCUAAGCUGGCCAUUGCUAAAGAGGUCUAUGAUCACUUAGUAGCCGUUCGGAUCUAGCGCGUGCCAUUUCUCAUUCGGGAUUUAGUGGAGGUUGGAGAAAGCGAAGGCGGGACGGGAGGUACAACCCUAAGCUCGACGUCUACGUGUUGUUUUGGACAAACAGGCUAUAACUUGCGCAAUGUGGCAGAGUGUAGUAAGGCCUGCAAGCUGUCGGGGCUGAAUUUUCUAGCAAACAAGUAGCACGCAUGGCCAGGAGCUCCGUUAUAUGUGCAUGACUGGUCACUGCGGAUAGUUUUGUAGAAGCUUGCCGCGUUGUGUCUCCCAAAGAUGCCCGGAUGGGAACCUCCUCUUGACCAAUUCAUCGCUGUGACACUUCUCUGCGCUAUCUUGUCCUUGAAUUCUAUGAACAUCAUUGUUGGAAUAUAAUGCUCGUCUGCGUAGCAUACUCCCAGACAAAACUGGCGAAAUUUUUCGUAGUACUUCACGUCGGCGAUGAUGUAGACGGCCAACUCCCGGUUCACCUCGAACCACUGAGCCCCUUUCCUCCAUUGGUCAAUGGUGACCUCUGGUUCCAUACGUGGGUCGUAUCUUCCUCUGCCCACGGGUCCCGGGUCGUCAAAAACACCUACAAAACUUUGGUUGGAGUUCAUCAGAUACUGAUAGGUAAAUGUAAAGUUCCAGAUUGGUGCGCAACUCUCAGAGAGAAGGACAAACCGCUCGUUGUCCAAAUCGAGUAGUGCGUUCGCUAACAACCGCCUCUCAGCAUCGUUCAUUGAAAUAUCACCCCAUUUCACCUCCUGGGUAGAUGAAAGUAGAGCCAAGUUAGACAGUGUCUCUUCCCUGAAGCUAGGACAGACGAACCGCGAACGGCAACGCUCCAGAAAAACCUAUCAUGCACAGAUUGUUACCACGGAGAACUUUUCUUCCAACACCCAUCUGCAGAGCGAUUCUGGUUUCCAGAAACAGAUGUGCGUGUUUUAGCACUGUGAGGAGGUGUUGCUGCAACAACCCAUCUCAGCUAUGGGUGGGACCAGGUCGUCGGAUGCACCAAAAGCUGGUGCCAACUACAACCCUGCAGAACGAUUUAAUUCACCGGCCAAGGAUCAAGAGAGGGAAGGGAGGGAGUCACCAACCUGGCUUAAGACGCGACGACCAUAGAAUACAGAAGACGGCCGCUCGUUGGGUUCGUAUUCAGGAAGAGAGUGGAUGUAUAUGUUGUAAAGAUCUUGGUGACCUUUGAAGAAUUUCUCCCACAGCGGAGCUAGAGGCAAAGGCCCGACAGUCAAAAACAUGAAAGCGACUUUCCGGAUGCGUUUGAGGGGCAUCCCUGGCCGCGUCGGCACCAUAGACGCUCUCCAGAGAAGCUCCUUGUCUUCCAUGCCGUGACACAAAGCCUGCGAAUCGUCAGGGGCCAUUAUGUGCCGGUGAACGCGUUGUUGAGCUCCAGAAACAUACGAUGAAAGCAUGGAUCCUGUGCUUAAGACUCCCGUUACGUGAAGGCUGCAUAUCACCCCUACCACUAAACUAGCGCCUAGUGCGAUGAACAAACAGAAUAUCCUGGAGAGCUUUGAAGGCCACUCCUUCAACGCCUUUCCCCCUGCUGCAUUUCUCAAAAUUGGGCCGUUUCCUACAACAGACUCAACAGCCAGAGAAGUUGUAGACGCUCUAGUCUGCAUUUUCUCUCUGCCGUUUCCAACAAUUCGUGAAAAAAAAAAGUAGAAAAGACCUUCGAGAAUGAAAAAUAAAGCCGGUUCCAAGCCAAACAAUCCUCGCGAUGCUCUAUCUCUAUGUGAUUUCGCACAGGUGCUAAAUAAACAACUACUCAGUCCGGCCUCUCGAUCUUCAGUCACAAGGCAAAAGAAUAAGAUUCUCACUCAGCUAUCACAUAUCCUCUCUGUGAUAGAGCUACCACCCAAAUCGUGGAUACAACCUGCGUCUCCCUCAUUCUUGGUCUGCAAGUUUAUAAAAAAAUCGAUCUCGUCGCUCCUUCCUAACCUGUUAUGAACAACGAGAACCAAUGGAAUGAUUCCUCACCUCGAUUGCCAAUUCUAGGCUGUUUCGCUCACAGCAAUACCCACGAUCCAUGCCAUCUCUCAACACCCUCACCGGUCAACAGCCUGCUAAUGCAACAAACUUUCGGCCCUGAUCAUACCUCCCUUAGCUGAACCGGUCCCACACACGCGAAUGAAAGGCUAAGCAAAGACGAAAAAGAAAUGAAGAAGAAGAAGAGGAAGAGGAAGUGAAGUGAGAAGGAAAAAUCAAAUAAAAAUACGUGGCAUCUAUAUUUACAGAUCUGAACUGAAUUAUUCUACCUCGCAGCUUCACUUCGUCAAACACUGCUACUCACUCAAUGGCUCAAUCAGUCAGCUUGAGUAUGCAGUUGGCACACCAAACCUUGCUUUUUUCUUUCUGUUCUCAGCAUCCGAACUCUCCACCACAGCCAAGAGUAAUGAGUCUCUGCAUUAUCAUCUUUGUGCACCACCACCACCUAUGCCGCUAAAAUAAUUAAAAAAGUAAAACCUAAAGGUGUAUCUUGUUGAACAGUGUUUUGAGGGGAGUUUUUUUGUUGGCUGUAGUACUUUUAAAACGGUCAACAAAACAAAACUACUUUCAGUGUUGAAUUCACGCUUGGGCUUUUGUAAUGUUUUUUCAAAUGCUUUUUUAUUUGUUUCCUUGGCAAAUCGAACGUGUUGAGAAGCACCACUAGAUGAUGCUUGACUUUUGGAUAAUUACAUUCUUGCAAUCUUAUAAAAACAUAAAACAUAUAUGUUGAAAUUUCCUCUUAUGCAUUUCAGAAGAAAAUGUUUUCGACCUAAGAUAUAUAGGUUCUUUUCUUUUCAGAUAGGUCAUAUAACAUACUGAAUUGGAAAAACGUAUGUGCACAAAGUAGCAGAUUUAACAAACAAUUUUAGCAAGACUAGAAUAUGACUGUAAUUAUUCAAGUAUUCAAAAAUAUUUAACCUAAAAACAUCAACAAUUUCAGCACAACUAUCACGAAUCAUCAAAAUCUCUAAAAUCUUUCAGACACUCAAAGGAGUUAUCUAAUAAUAAUAAUCUGAAGGAAUGCAUAUUGGAUAGGAAGUAUAAAUUGCUCAUUCUAUUUUGUGGUACAAGAAUCAUUAAAUGAUCCCAGGGUUUGAACAAUGGCACCAGGUACACCAAAUGGACAGAUUUUACAAACAUACUUUAAAAUAAUAAAUGUAUUGAGAAAGCUAUAAGCUUCUAUCAUCACAUUAAAUUAAUUAUACAAAUAAACAUGGCUAUUGAUUAUAUAGGCUAGUACUAUGAUAUCUUAAUUAAAAUUUGUUAUUUGCUAGAACAAACAAGUCCAAUAGCACUAGGUAAGUUGAAGGUUCAAGAGCAACAAUUGGGAGUAGAUAAGAGAGACAUUCACAAGUCUGCCACUAAAACCAGAGGCACAUCUUGAAUAUGCAUAUUUAUAGUCUUUUGUGUUAUAAUAAGAGAUAUUGGAUUGUAUAAUUGUUUUUUAUAUGAAUUAUUUAGAAAUAUAGAAAAUAAAUAUAAAUUUAAAAAAUAAUAUCAAAGUAUAAUGAUUCAAAAAAUUGUUUCAAUGUUGACAUAUUUUAGAAAGAAUGGUGUAUUACAAAUAAAUUGUAGUAAAUAAUGAUAUGUGGUUUGUAUAGCAAAUAAAAUACUACUUUACAGCUACCAAAUCAGCUCAAGUUGAAAAGAAUCCAUUUAAAAAUUACAAAUGAUAUUUUGAGUGUCGUGUCUAAUUUUUGGAUUCUAUCAAUUAUUUAACAUUACAGCAUUCUAUCAUCAUUAGAUUUACUAUGAUAAUAUUAUUACUAAUCUAAUGACAUCAUUAAGGCUUACUAGCAGCUAUAAAAGCACCAUUCUUAAUCACAAUUCUUGGCACAGAUAUAUUCCAAAUUACCACAUUCUAUGACCUUCUAGAAUCUUCUACAAAUUUCUAGAACCUUUUAGAUAUUUAUAGAAUCUUCCAUAAACUUUUAGAAAGUUUCAUACGCUUCUAGAAGCCUCUUUGAAUUUCUAGAAGCUUCUUUAGACUUCUAAAAACUUCCAUAGAAAGUACCAUAGACUUCUGUAAACUUCAUUAUAGUAUAAAUAGGAGUCUUUGGAACCACUUGUACUAUCAAUUUCAUUCUGUCUUUAAUUUUGACAUAUUUCUUUUUCAAAUUUUUGUGUCUUUGACAAUUUCUUGAACAACCACAAGAUCCAUUUCCCGCUCUCUUCAAGACAACAAUAACUUUGCUCUUCUUUAUUUUCAAAAAUCUUAUAGUCAAAUUGCUUCUGAACUUCGCUACAACUAAGCUACUAUCUUUAGGCUUACAAAAAAUAUCACUUUUAAUAAGGAGAACCUUAAAUUAAGCAGACUAAAGAAGCUCACUAUAAUAGAUGAAAGAGCAAUCAUUUACGAAAUCAACAUUAAGAAGGCUAAAAAUGUUGUUGAAAUUGCUAAAAAACUUUACAAUAUUAUUUGUAAUCAUGUGUCAAUUCAAACCAUUUGAAAUGUUUUCAAGAAAUGGAAUAUGAAAGCCGUGGUAAAAAAAAAAAAUCUAUCUAUAUAUAUAUAUAUAUAUUAUUUACUUGCCAUCAAAAACAAUGCUUGGAUUUUGCUAUGAAGUACAAAGAAAGGACUACAUAGAAUUGGAAGAGGGUAAUUUGGUUAGAUGAGAUAAAAAUCAACAAAUUUGGGUCAGAUGGUACAAAGUAGAUGUAGAAACAAAAAGGUUAGUUUUGGCUUAACGAAAAGAUCUAAGAAGUAGUUAAGCAUGGGAGUAGAAAUAUAAUGAUAUGGAGUUGUAUGGGAUAGAAUGGAUUUGAGAGGGUGGCAUAAGUUGAAGGGAAGAUGGAUACCAAGCAAUUUAUAGAAAUUCUUCAAGGCUACCAAGGCCAAAGGAUGUCCUAUAAAGUAUUGAUAUGUAAUUGGAUACCACAUCCAAAAAAAUGUUAUAAUAAUAUUCCAAAUUGGAUUGAUCAUAGCUCCACAAUUAUUUAAUGGAUUCCUUUCAAUCUAAGCUCAUUUGAUAGCUAUAAAAGAAUACUUUAUUUGCUAUACAAACCACGUGUCAUUAUUCAUUAUAAUUUAUUUGUAAUACACCAUUCUUUCCAAAAUAUGUCAACAUUGAAAUAUUUUUUUAAAUCACUGUAUAUUAUGGUAUUAAUUUUGUAGCUUAUCCAAAAAAAAAUUUAUAUAUAUAUAUAUAUAUAUAUAUAUAUAUAUAUAUAUAUUAUAAUAAAAAUAUAUUUAAAAUUAUCAAAAAUUAAAAAUAUUUUAAAAUUUUUAACUCUCAUUAUUUUGCUUGUAAAUAAAUAAAAUAAUAAAAUAAAAUAAUAAAAAAAUAAUAAAAAGAAAAAAAAAAGAUAGUACAGGCUAUUUUAACAAUAGUAUAUAUAAAAAAACAAAAAAUAAUAAUAACUUUGUAUGUUAGUUAAAAAUGCUAAUUUAAAGACUUUUAUUGUUGCUAAAUUUAUAAUGUACAACUAAAUAAUUUUGGAUUCUAAAAAGUAUAUUACAAUAACUUUAUUAUUAUUAACUUAUAUAUUUUAAAAUUAAUAAUUAUUUAUAGAUAAAUAAGCUUAGAUAUAUUUUAUAAUACAGCAAAUAUAUAAGUUUUGAGAAAGAUUCAAACUUAUGCUACAAUAUAUCAAAGGUGGUUAUUGUAUUGUGAUUUUAGAUAUCUUUAUAUUAUAUUACUAUUUUUUUUAAAGAAUAUAUUAUAAAUUCAUUAAAAAUUUUGAAUUGGAAAUUAUGUUUUUAAGUUAUAUUGAAAUCCAAAAUUAAUUGUUUGCAUAUUUACAAAUCCCUCCAUCAAUUAUUGGCAAAAAAACCAAGAAACAUGUCAAAUACAUAUUUCUAUAGUUGUGGCUAUUUAAAACUCAAACAAUAAUCCAGAUCCAACUUUUUUAAUUCUUCUACUCUAAAUAUAAUCAAAUUUGAAUUUUUCACACUCAAGAAAUUAUUUGCCAAAUCACAAUUGGACCAUUUGGUAAAUCAUGUGACAAAUGUAACCAUAUAAAAUAUAUAUAUAUAUACAUAUAUAUAUAUAUAUAUUAAUGUCACCAUAUAAAAAUUCUCAUUACUUUGAUGAAAUCUAAAUUGUAGCAGGUGGAUUAAUUGCAGAAUUUAACAAAUAACAUUAAUACAACCAUUAACAUUUUUGGAAUCCCUUAACCAAAUACAACCUUCAGUUGCUCUAUCCUACAAAUUUUAAUGCCACAAAUUUUGUUAAGUUUUUUCUCACAAAAUGGAUCAAUGGACACAUAUAUGAGUGGUAAAAAGUUAUAUGAAAAAUAACAAGCAAGCUAUUCUUGGAAUUGUAUAUGAUAGAAAUAUGUAGCAUAAAUUUGAAAAGAGAUUAUACAAGAAUUUGGAUGUAUGAUAGGAUAGACAUGUUUGUUUGUUUGUUUGUUUGUUUUGUUUUAUUUUUUUUAUUCAUUUAUUUUUGAAUGAAUAAUAGUUAUAUUAAUAAAAAAAUAAGAUACCAAUUAGUUUGGGUCCAAAGAGUGGGAAGGCAAUACUAAUAAAGCUAAGAUCAUUAUCCAUUGAAUUGAGACAAGGUUACACAUUGUGAGCUCUCAAUUGUACUCUAUAAUCUAAAUUUUUGUUAUUUUCUUAUGUUAUGAUAAUUGGGCAUGUUAGAUUAGAAUUUAUAUAAGUGGAAUUUAGUUUUAUAGAAUUUUUAGGAUUACAACCCUUGAUCGUAUAAAUUAUAGCCUAAUUCCUUGAAUUAGGUUAGUUAGGACUAAAGUGAUAAGAGUUAGAAAAUUAGAAUAACAACUCAGUUAGUUCAAUAAUUUAGAGUUUGUUAGUCAUUACCAUGAGGGUUGAUUAAAAGCCUAUGAGUGCACCUAUAAUCAUUCACAUGAUUUAGGAGUUGGAAUUAUAAUUCUCUAAAAGAUUCAAGAAAGUUAGCUAUGAUGAUUUUGAGUUUUCCUCCAAUUUCGACAAAUUCAAGCAACAUGGUGGUUCUUCUUAUUAAUAAGGGUCUUUUUAAUGCAAUGGUGGCACCAGAUUUAUCCCGUGGAGUGAAGAAAACAAGAUCAGCACCGUCUCCUUUAAAAUACAAGUGAAGCAAUGAAAUUCUCAUUUUGAAGAAUUUUACAAAAAAAUUGCCAAGAUCCUCGUAAGUAAAAACUUCCAUGAAAAUUAUAGUUGAGCAUGGAUUGAGGCAUAUGAAUAGUCGAUCUCAGCUUUUAAAAGUGUUUUGAACACAAUGGUGAAGUUAGAUUUACCAAAAAAUGCUUUCUUGACCACUUACAAGAGCCAUCAGCCUUGGUAACGAGAUUGGCCCUUGGAUGAAUGAAGGCAAUAGAUCUAGAUUAGAGAUCUUAAAAAUCAAGGGUGGAGAUGUAGCCUCCACUCAAUUGUAUAAGAGAAGCUUAGUUUUCCAAGCCCUCUCUCUCUCUCUCUCUCUCUCUCUCUUCUUUUGGAUGAAGAACAAAGCCAUGCCAAAAUUUGGCCAAAAUCCUAAUUUUAAUUUUAUUUAGAUUUUAAAUCUCAUUGUGAACCUUAUGAUUGUGUGUGUAUGGAUUUUGAAUUGUUAAGGAUGGUCAUUAAGUUUUAAAAUAUGCUUCAUUGAGGUAGAUAGCUCCUCGGCCUUCCAAAUACCCCAAAGGUUUCAAGGGCCUCGGAUUUUCUUCAAUCAAUCACUCUGUUUCUUUUUUUUUGAUAUGAAAUUCUAAGUAGUUGUAGCUUUUGUUGUUAGCUUUUUGACAAGAUAUGACUCACUUGAUUUGGAGUAAGAAGGAAGUUUUGGUGAAUUUUUGAGUUUGAAGGAGUGGAUUGCCUUUGCAAUUUGAAUCAAUCAAGUUCAGAAAGGCAUUUCUCAAUGCCUGAUUAUUGGUGUUAUUUGAAAUUUUGGGAGCAUCAAAUCUUAUAAGUUAAGCUCUGAAAGGCAUAAGAUUUGUUGGAUUUGAAGACAGUCUAAAUUUUUAGUGAAUUUCUAAGUAAAGAGGGUUGGUCGUCAUGGCAGUUUAUAUCACUCAACUUUAAAGGAGGAAUUCUCACGCCUGAAUCAUUAGUUGCAUCGAGAAUUGUUAAAUCAAGAGUGUCUUUAAGUUAGCCUUGCAAUAAGCUAAAUAUCAUUCAAAUCGAAGCUGAUUCAAAUUUUAGCAAAUUUUGGAGUAGAAGGAGGUCAUUGCCUUCAAUCCUUGUGUAUUGUCAAGGUAUCUUCGCUUUUACCUCUCUUACUUUAUUUUUACUAUCAUCUUCACAGUGACUUGUAAUCUCUACAUUUCACCUUUUGGCUAAUAAAUUUUAAAUUUAACUUGUAACCUUUAAUAUUCUCACUUUAACUUUUAAUUUUAACUUUUAACUUAACCUUUUAAUUUUAACUUUUAACUUAACUUUUUAAAUUUAACUUUCAACUUAAAUUCUAAUUCAAACUUAAUUUUUUAUCCUUAUGAUCAAUUAAUAGUAAAAACUUAGUUAAUUAUUUUUACUAUAUUUAUAUAGUAAAUUUUAUUUAUUAUUUUAAUUUAAUAUCGGUAACUAUUCCUUAGAAGGUGUUAAUUUGAAUUGAACUAUAAACAUCCAUAUUUAAAUUAACUCAAAAAUUUCACAAUUGGGAGUCCCUCCAUUCUAUCCCCUGAACUUGUUGUAUGGCAUCAAUUUAAUGAGGGGUGAAUUUGGAGCUCACAUGCAUACAAAAGACUUGUGAGCUAUAUGAGACUUGGUCAAAAUCUUUUUUGAACAUUUUUUUGAUGUUCUUUAUCAUAUUUUUUGUAUAAAAUUAAAUAUAUGAUUUUGUCAAUAUAUGAUUUUUUCUUUAUGCCAGUGUAAAUUAUUUUUUCUCAAGCACUAUGGUAUAUCUUUGAAAUGUCAAUCUUUUCUUCAGAGAAGAUUAGGUUGUACCUUGUGCACCAAAUGUACUACAACAAGGUGUUGUGGAGGACAUCCUUCGCUAUGACUAGUAUAUGGAGGAUAUGUAGAUUCUAUUGAUUUGACUGCCAAAAGAGACAAUUAUAUAAAUCCUCUCUCCAUGAAGAGAAUGGAAGUAAGUCUAAGGUAUUCUAGGUGGUUGGAUAGCAAUGUCACGCUUUGUGAGAAAAUUUGCAAUUCCAAAGGUAGUUGACAGAUAUUGUUGUUAUAUAUCAACUUCAUUGUUGCACAUUAAUUUUUAGUAGGCAAUCCACAUGAUUUAAGAAGCCACAAAAAUAUUAAAAAUUAUAUUGGCUUAUAUUUAUUCUAUAUAAAUUAAAUUGAAUCAAUUUUUUAUUUUGAUAUGAGGCCAAGGAUAUCUUGUUUGGAAUGAAGGCAAGUGACUUCGAGCUUGUCAAGAAGAAUAAUAUUGUUUCUAUGUUACAAGGAAUGAUUGAAGAAUUUUGUAGCACUUCCAUUUAGUUGGAUCAUAUGCAAGUGAACACACAUUAUUCAUGCAUCAUAUAUGACCAUUGUAUGAGAUGUCCAAAUUUAUAUGGAUGGUGCAAAGGUCUUUGAUUGAUGUAAAUACUUGUAUCUUAUGUAGGUCGAGGCUAGUGAUAUCUAUGUUAGGUUUAGCAUUUUGGCAUGUAUAAAAGUAAAUCAAAAUGGGUGCAAAUACAACAUCUUUAUAAAAGCUACAAGUUUGUAAUAGGAAUUUGAUUCCUUGAACUAGUCAUAAUAUUGCUACUUAGUCCAAAGAUUUAAAAGCUAGGUAUUAGUUCAUAUUCUAGUAGCCAAGUAUAGAAUCUAAAAAGUUCUUUUGGUAUUGAUCUAUGUUUUGGAGGCUUACAAUUUGUUUGAGCUUGGCUAUAGAUUUUUAAUCCUUCUAUUGGUCAUAUUAGAGGUCUUUAAAUUAAAUAAUGUCUUUACUCAUUUGUAUACUCUUAAAUGAGUAAAGAACAUCUCUUAGCAUAUUUUGGUGGGAAUCAAGUAUCUCUUUGUUCCAAAAAAGACAUUGACAAGCUAUAGAGUCAAUAUAGAAAAAUUGUUGGAAUUCUAGUCUAUAUCGGAUUUUAGUCCAUACCUGCUAAAUUGCCAACCAUAAGUCAAAUCUGAGUCCUCUAACUUCUCUAGCAUAAAAGAUGAAGUUUAUGUGAGAAGAGCCAUUUAUUUUUUCAUUUUGGAUAAAGCAAGGUGAUGCAGUGCUUUAUGAGUAUCUACCAUAGAAUAUUUUUAGGAUGCAUUCUUCUUAUAAAAAGAUUAGCAAGAAGGGCCUAUUUUUGAAGGUAUUUGUAAUUUUAUAGAGUGAUAAAAGAUAUUCUAUUUUUUCUAUUGAAUAUAUUUUUAGACCAUAAACAUAUCCAAUCUAGUUAGAUUCACUUUGAAUUUUUUGUCGUCUAUUAUUAAUAUGAGAUGAAAUUUAAAAAUCAUAUAUAUAUUUUUUUAUACUAACGGCAUUACUUUAAAAUAAAAAUUACUCAUAAUUAAAAAUAUAAAUAAAUAUAUAAAUAUAAUAUUCAAAUUAAAAAAUAUAUUUUUUAAUUAAGUUAUUAAGUUUAUUUUUUACUAAAUAUUCUCUAAAAAUAUAAUAAAUUAUGAAGUAAAAAUAAUAUUUAGAAUAUUCUUUUAAUUUCACACAAAGAAUAAAAAUUAUAUAAAAGAUUUUCUAAAAUAUCUUCUUUUUGUAUUAAAAAUUAAUUUAAAAAGUCUAAAAAAAUUAAAAUUAAUUGAAAUUAUUUAACAAAUAAAAUAAAAAAUACUAAUUAAAUAUAAAUAAUUUAUUUUGAAAAAAAAUCUAUAAAAAGAUGGUAUUGUAAAAAUAUCACAUCAAGAUUUGUAUUAAAACUAUCAAAAGUGUUUUUCACAAAUAUAUUUAUAUUUGAUUUUAUACGAUUUUUUUAUAUUUUUAUAUAAUUUAUUAUUAUGUAGAAAUUCUAUAAUAAUUACUAAGACUAUUAAUCUUAUCUUAUUUGAAGAUAUUAAUAAUAUGAUUAUUACUUUUGUUCUUUGAAAUAAAAAACAUGUUUUCUUGGCAACUAAUAAGGAUAGAUGAUGUUUUAUUUUUAACUAAACUUUUAAAUAUCAAUUAUUAUAUUUUAAAAAUACUAAUAAAAUUUAUUUUUUUCAAAAAUAAUAUUUAAUUUUAAAUUAAUUUUAAGAUUGUUAUAACUUAAAUAAUUUCUAAGUAGACACCAUUUUUCAAUGCAUAAUCACCUCUCAUGUCAUGUACUCCUAUAUACAUACAAAAAAAUAAUUAUAUAUAUAUAUAUAUAUAUAUAUAUGAAAAUAUUAAAGUGAUCCAUCUAUUUACUAAAAAGAUAUAACUUAUUAUAAUCAUGAUUAGAAAAAUGGAUCAUCUGCAGAAAUUAUCAUUACAAUCAUAACUUUUAUUCCAACUCUCUUCUUUUGGAGUCUCUGCUUCCUCUGUUUUUAAUUCUCAUCUCUACCUUCUCCCCUCUCCCUUUUCCAUUUCAUUUCUAAUUUCUUCAGAGCUACACACAUGAGUUGUUGGAGGUUAAGAUAAUAUAUAAAGAUUGCUUAUUGAGAUUGCCUAAAGAUCAUUAUUAUCUUUGCCACAUUUUGCAUCUUUAAUCCAAUCAUAUAAACACAAGUUUGAUUAAGUCAAUCUUCAACAGCUCAUAUUUAUAGUUUUGAAGGAGUUAAGAACAAGGAAAAAAAUAGGGUCAAGAUGAGAGCUAGAAAUGAAGGAAGGAAGAGGUGAAAAUAAGAGAGGUUAGAAUGAAGGUGUCAAGGACAUGAAUCUUGAAGAAAGAAAACCUCAAUACAAUCUUAUGUCACUCAAAAAGAUUACAAAAUCACUCAAAGAUGUUAUAGUAUUAAACUAGAAUGGCUAUUGCCAAAGACAAGGAGAGUAGAAAGUCUUGAAAACAAGACUAAAGUCUAGAAAGGCAUUGACAAGAAUGAAAAAGGCUUCACUCUUGCCUCUAUAUAUAUUCUUAACUAAAAGCUACAUGGUGGUAUCCUAUAGGACCUCCAAAACGUAUUGAUUGUGCAAGAUAUGUAUCUUCUUGCAAGGUAAGUUUUCUAUGUAAACGCCACAUAGUUAGCUUGUUUCGCAAGCUAUCAACAAGUAGUUAACUUGUUGAUUAAGUUUCUAACCUACCAAUCAACUAGAAAUACAUAUAAAGUCAAAGCAACAUCUAUAAAGAUUUAAAGAAGCUUCUUUAGAAAACAUUAUGAAAUAAAUUUAUUUUUAUCUAAUUCUAUUUAAUCAUAUGAUAAAUAUUAGAAUAAAUAUGUAUGUUCAUGACAAAGGGUCAUGAUUGUAAUAAUAGUUUCUAGAGAUGAUUCAUUUUUCUAAUGAUGGUUACAAUAGGGGAGGUCUAUUUAGUAAAUAGAUAGAUGACUUUAACAUUAUCUUAUAUGUCUAUAUAUAUAUAUAUAUAUAUAUAUAUAUAUAUUAAAAAAUUAGAGUAUAUAAUUGAAAUCAAUAAGUAUUUAAAUUUUUGAAUAUUUAAGAAAUUCUUAAGUUAUAGUAAUAAUUACAAUAAUUUGUGAUGUAUUAAAAAAUCUAUUUAAAAAUAAUUAUAAUCUUAGAAGAAUUUCAAUAUAAUAAUAAGAUGUUUAAAAAAGAUAAUUUGGUGUACAUUUAAAGAAGUAUUUUGUAAAUAUAAUCAAUAAUCAUUAAAAAUUCAUAAUUAAGCUAAUGAAAAAAUUGAAUUAUUUAAGAUAUUUUUAAUAAAUACUCUUCUAUCAAAUAGUUGUAGUAUUAUUGUAUAGCUAAUUCUUGAAAAUCUCAAAUAACCAAAAAAUAAAUUAAAAGAUUAAUACUCACAUUUCUUAGCAAGAAUGUAUUUUGUAAAUAAAUUAUUUUUAUCAUCUAAUAAAUAUUCUAUCUAAUACAAGAAAAUUUGUUAUCCAUUAUUUUUUACAUAGUAUGUUUUAAUUUUUGCAUUUUUUACUUAAUUGGUUAGACAUUAUAGUACAGCUUUACAAAACAAUCUAAUGUACAUUAUAGUACAGCUCUUCAUAACAUCUAUAACAUCCACAUACACUCUUCUAAUUCACUUAACUUAACAUGCUUAUAUGCUCUAAUAUUUUAAGAUUCUCAUAUUUUUGACUUUUUCAACAAAAUAAAUAAAAAAUAGACAUAAUAACAUAAUAUAUUAUAAUAUAUAAAAAAAUAGUACCUAUUUAAUAAAUAAAAUUUCAAUAUUAUCGUGGUUGAUUCUUUAAAUUUUCAUGAUGUUGAAUUAGAAUCAAGAAAUGAUAGCUUAAAUGAAAAACUAAAUUUCUAACACAACUUAUAAAUUAAUUUGUAAAGCAAUUUCUUCACAAUUCUAAAAUCUUAAUUAGUAUUUUUAUUUACUAUUACAUAUAUAGAUAAUUUUAAAUAGUGAUAUUAAAAAAACCAAUCUCAAAAUAGAUACUAUAAUUUAUCUAAAAUUGACUUAAAGAAAACUUUACUCAAUUCAGAAUAUUUGGAAUAUAAAAUGUAAUACCACUUGAAAUUACUUACAUGAAAUGUAUGAGUAAAUAUACAUCAUAAAAAAUCUACAUAAUAUGGAUAUUUAAAAUAAUAUUAUGAAGUCAUCAUUUUGUCUAGAACAAACAUUAUUUCUUCUACAUUCUAGGAGUUUCCAUAGAUUUUUGCCUGUAUAUUUAUGGCCUGUUUAAUACAAAUACGAAGUCUACAAAAACUUUAAGCAAUUGUCAUCUAAUAAUAUAAAAUGUACUAAUAAACAUUUAAAUGGAUGCUAUUAGCAAACCAUGUAAAAAUGCACACACGCACUUAAACAAUGUAUGAGAUCCCUGAAUUUGAACAAAUCAUAUUCAAGUAUCAAAUCACACAAAAAGCAAUGAACGUGUGCACAAAACUAAAACCUCAGAAUGAUUUGGGGUAAAUUCAGACACACAUUCCGUAACAAACCUUGGAUCAGAACCAGAUCCAUGGCUCUUGUGGGUGAUUGCAAUAAUUGUACUUGCCUGAUCGUCACGUCUGAGUUCACUCCCGUGAUUGUGGUUCAGUUAUAAUUGUGAGUGAGGAUUUCAAAACAUGCAGUGAUUGCAUAAAUGAGCCUCUCAAAUGAUCAUGGACUGACAGUUUUGGAAGCUGCCUGCAAACACACACACUCUGUCCCAAGGCUAUGGAAUACGUACAAUCCUCUCAACACUCACAUCGUCAGAGCUUACCCACGAGCUUUUCUGCAGUGGUGGCCAACUUUCACCAACCUCCCACCGGUUUCAUGGCAGUAUGUCACAUUCCCCUCGACAGCAAGAGUAUUACAUGCGUGACUGACCAACUUGGGUGGUAGCUAACACCGAAGUGCCCAAGGAUGACACUAAAUCAGGUCGUCAGCUCACUUCCCUCGAGCAGUAACCGUACAUUCCUGGUGAGAUGAAAAUCACAACAAUGGCAGCUUUGGUAUCACACCAGCAUAUAGAACGGGAAAAGAAAAGAAGAAGAAGAAGAAAAAAAAAAGCAGUGUACGAACUGGAAAACCUGGUCUGAUGUGAAAAAAGCGACUAAUCCUACAAUUCCAUAGGUUGAAAGGGACAACAAAGACACAAAGCUCAGUUGGAUGGAAAUGCAAGCACCCUCCAACUCGGCCCAGAGGACACUCCAGCUAAAUGAAGCUCUGUCAACGUAAAUUCCUUCUAGAUCUAUCUCUCUGCAGCUAAGGAAACUGAUACGAACUGUAAUCUAGGAUUCGGAAGGUGCCCAUGUGUAGGAGCAUCGAAGAUGUAUCCUAUGGUCAUAGCGAAGUAACUCCACGCAGGCUUGGCGCUUCAGCUUGUAUCCGUAACAUCAUUGCAGCUAUGGUACUGUUCAUGGUAAACACGCCUCCAUUACUUGAUUGCGAUUCAUGAAUCUUCGUCAGAAUUGUUUCCCCCUCCUUUUGUUGCAUGCCUCAAAACCAUUUUCUCAACGUAGUCUUUCUGGAUCCUCGCCCUGACGGCAUCAGCAUCGGUCUCACCGGGCUCGCCGAGAACAGGCCCAACUUGACUAAGCACCAGCGCCACAUCUGCAUAAAUCGCAAUUUUAGGGUCAGGUGUCAGUGAUUUAUUCUGUUUCUUUGUUAAGAUUACGAAGAAAGAUUAUGCUUGUUGGAAAAGGCAACCGCGCUAGAAGCAUUACCUUCAGGAGUGCAUUUUGGACCUCCAAAUCUUCGCAGGCCCACCAAGUUGGCCAUGACAUUGGUGCUAUUAUAAACUAACAAGGUGGGAAGAAGGUUGUCUGGGUAAUUCUUAAUGCAAUCCGUAGAAACGAUCUUCACGAACUUCGUAUUGGUAUACUUCGCCGCCAGUUGAUUUAAGCACUGCCCCAGCAACUCACAUUCUGCUAACCUGUCAGAGCAGUAGGUCACCUAAUUCUUAACCAAACCGCAUUUCAUUCAAUGCACAAUGUAAAACAACUUGACUAAAAAAAUGACUUCAAAUUUCUGUCGACAUCUUCCUAUCACAAAGGUUUAUGACUGGUGGGAUGAGGAGCAAUGAACAUACGAUCACUACUAAGAAGUUAGAGACUAACCCGUCUUUGAAAAGAUGGACAACGACCCACACAUCAGCAGGUGCUUGAGAGACCUCCCUAACGUAAUCGGAGCCUGAAAUUCGCUGCACGGACCCAAAUCGCGGUUUACUUGCCACUUCCCUCAUUUCUGCCAACCGCUGCUUUCUGCGGGCAGGAUAUAAUUAUCAGGUGUCAAGUCUGAGCAUCGUACUACUAAUGUCAUGCUCGUCAUAAUUAAACAAGCAAUUCUUCGUUUCAGAACCGACAUCCAGGAUUUCUAGGCGACAGAAAAAAAUACAAUGUAACAAGAAGGAUAGGAAAAGGAGAUUUAUCUCUCCGAUGGCAAGAUCAUCAAUCUACUGAACAAGGUACGAAUUCGAAUUCUUAGUUCAAUCUGAUUCUCAGGUAUUCCGAGACGAGACAGUUUGAAAAACAAUUAAAUCUAAACUUGUGGGAUUCCACGCAAUACUUAUUUUCCAUGGCAGAUUUGGGCAUGGAUCUGAGGAACUAGAGAGUGUAACCGGAGUGAAAAUAAGAGGAAGGAUUUGGAAUCCGACCCUGGCAAAGAUGAUAUUUCGAAAAUGAGCACGGAGCACUUCAAAAUUUCACGACAAUACCGAGACAAAAUACUGCAUAAAUGAACAAAACACUGGCAAAACCAUACCGAUACUGCUCGAGGAACCGAUCAUCUUCUAACAGAGAAUCGUCUUCCAAAUCCUCAAGCUCAUCAAUGGACUUCCCAUCCAGCCAUGCUGCAUCCUUGGGAGCGUUUUCCAGAUCGGAAUCCGGGACCCAGCCCGGGGUUGGCUUGGGCUUGGGCUUCUCGGGCAAGUUCCCGAGCUUUCGCUGAAUAUCAUCCCACUGCGUGCUGGUGCCCUCCGCAUCCUUGUACACAAAAUUAUCACCCAUUGUGACCAGAUCCUACUCUCAAAGCUACUUACACAAUCGAAAACUUCCUUUCUCUCCAAAUAGCGACACUCUAAACACCCAAAACCUCUCUUCGGCGCACUUCAACAAGCUCGAAAGGAAAACCAAGAGUCUACAACCUAACAACAAAUCAGAGCUUGAACAACUCAAUCUCGAUGCAUUCGCGCUUGGGCCACACUCUGUACUGCAUUCACUCGAAGAAUCCCCGAAACUCCAUCAAAAAUCCAGCUGCAACUUCGAGCCGAUGAUUUGCACAAAUUCUGAUUAACGCUGCCCCUAAAACUUCCGCAAAUCGGCGACCCACAAAUCCACUGAGAAAACAAAACCUAUUCUGUGCCGUGGCCAAAUGCGAAAUAAAGUUCAUUCGUAGGUCGCCACUUCGUCAUCACAAAAUCAUCCAAAACAGCACUAGUCGCGACAUCAUCUCCUGUAUUCCUUAUCACUACAAAUAGAUUAUGCCUACUAAGUACAUAUUAUAAAAUACAAUCUCUUAUAUAAAUUAGUUCAAGGAUUAACCAACGGCAUAAAUCGAAGGAGACCAUCUGUGAUUGGCUGCAAAUUUCAUUUUUUUUAUUAAAACUGAAAUAAAAGUAAAGAAAUAAUUCAACUUUUGAUCAAUCAAAGAUCAAAAUUUGCAUUUUGUUAUAGAUUGUCAAGAGUAGUACUGCAAGAUCACUAGGCGUGGAACAUCGGUUUCUACUAGUAUUUUAUAAAGAAAUUACAAAAUCAAUCCACCAUUUUAUUAAAUUUACCCACCCUCCUUCCAAUCCCACCCAUUUUACUAAAUCAACUCAAUCCCUUGGUUUUAUAAAUGAAAUUGCUAGAUCAAUCAAGAAUUGUAGAAAAGUUUAUUGUGGUAUUGGGACUUGAAAAAUUGAACGUAUAAGACAAGUACAAGAAUUAUGUUUACAUAUUCUACAUCUAUGCAAAGAUCCUUGUGUAUGUCUUCUACAAUUUCAAAUUACAAUGGAUCUCAUUGUGUAGAUGUCUCCACCCAUGCAACACUUUGUUGCAAUUGGUUAUGGGAUUAAAAGGGGUGCGGAGGGGUGGAUUGAUUUAGCAAUUCUCUUUUUUAAUGUUGAAUAUAUAUAUAUAUAUAUAUAUAUAUAUAUAUAUAUGGCUAUGUCAUGUCAUGUGGCUAUGUGCAAUUUUAUAAGUUUUCACAAAUACAUGACUCCACCUCAAAGAAUACUCUAAAGGGGUAUUCUCUUGCACAAAUAACUUGAAGCAGUGAUAAUGAGUAAUUAAACAAACAUAAAAUGGUGAAGAUAAUUAAAUAUUUAGAAGAGUAUAAGUUUGAUGAUUUUACAAAGUGAAGCAAGUAGAGUUUCUUUUAUUAGCAAGACAAUUAAAUUUUAAAAUCACAAAAAGAAAGAAAGAAAAAAAAGAAGAAAAAAGUGUUACUUUAUAUAUGUAUAAGAAAGAAAAAUAUAUAUAUUCUAAAAUUUUGAAAGAUUCCAAAAGAGCAUCAUGAGAUCAUUUACAAAAAUAUGUAUGUAUUGUUAAAAACAACGUCAGUAUUUUAAGCAAUAAAGUAUCUAUUUCUGUAGAUGAUAUAAUAAAAAUGAGUGUGUAUGAAAUAGCUGCUGUUAUAUUCCUAUCUAUUACUAUGAAUGUCCCACUUUAAAAAAUUAACAAUAAGCACUUCUGUCAACCUACACGUGCUAUUAUUCAGAUAAAUAAAUAAAUGAUAAAUCAGCAAACAAUGGUGCUCAGUCGAUUGUUUUGUGUCUAAGAAUUGUAAUCAUGGGACAUGGCACAUAUGGUCUUUUGCAGUAGAAAUAUACAAACUAAAAAACAAUACAGAUAGAUAGAUGGAUGGAUGAAACAAUAUAUUGAUAUUAUUCUAGUACUUAAAUCAUGAAUUUUUUGUUUAAAAAAUAGUAUUAUCAAAAUACAUUGUUUUUACCACAUUUUAACAUCUUUUAACAGGUAUUAUUUAUUUAAUUUUUCCAUACUGGAAAUCAUGUCUUUGUUCUGGAACAUUUUAAGAGUUACGAAGUAUUCAAUAUAUAAAAUAUAUUCGAAAAACUUAUGUUUAAGUUAUCAAAGGCCAAAAUAAUUUAGACUUCAAUUUAAGAAAAAAAUUAAUCUAAUAUCACGUUUUUUUGGGAAAAAAAAAAUUAAUAUUUUUAGGGAUGUACUAUAAGCAAAAAAUAUCCUCAUUUUUUUUUACAAGCAUAUUAAUAUUUUCAAUGUAUUUUUUUAUAGUUAUCACACAAUUAUUGUUAUAGUUAUAUACAUACAUAUAUGUAUAGUGAGCUUCUAGUAGAACAAACCAAUAAAUCUAAACCAAGUAUUUUUAUUAUUUUUUACUAAUAUUAGAGAAAGAAUAUUUUGAUUUUACAGUCAAUGGAGUGACUACAUUGUGAUCUAUACCAAAUUCAAGAAAAAAAAUCAUCUACAAUCAUAGGUAAAUUUAGGUUCAAUAAAGUCAUGUAAUCUUAACAAAUUGGUAGUCUUCUUUAAGUUCAUUAUAUAUUAUCUUUUAUUCAAAGUGUUGUUAUCAUUCAAAAACCCUACACUUAGAUGUAGGAUAAAACUCACAUACAUAAACACAUAUUUUAUUACUUCCAAUACACUCAAAUCCCAAAUGGGUUUCCAAUCUGAUAUUCUAAAAAGAAAAAUGUUCUCAUCUUUAAAACUAGAUAUUCACCAAAGCCAAAGUUUUAUAAUAUAUUUUUUACAUACUUUACAAUUCUUUUGGCAAUGAUCCACUUAAGAAUGCUACCAAAUAUCAUUCAUAUUCUUGUUUUUCAUACCAUUCAAUGUUUCAUUAAUAGUUUUAAUUUUGAGAUCUUCAAUCAAGAAUAUGUAUUGUUUUGUAUAUUAUAAAUUUGGCCAUGGAUAAAUUUAUUUCUUACCUCAACUAAAUUAUGCUUAUCAUUACAAGCCAAAUAUAAAUAUGGUAUAAUAAGUAAGGUAGGCGCACAGUAGCAAGCUCCAAUCAUUAGAGAUUGGCAACAAAGUUGGAACCCACUACAAUGCAAUUGGGCAUGACGUACUAUGCUUGAUAGGACUCUAUGAAUCACACAAGGCAUAGUGCUACCAGAUCCAAAUUUAUCAAAAUUCUUCAAAUAUAAUUACAACUUAAAGAUUGAUAUAAUAUAAUUGCCAACAUUACAUUUAACAUCUCUUAGAACAUAUAGUAAACUAGAUUCUAUGAAUUUUUAGUUAAAAUAGAAUAGUUUUGAAUAAUUAGUGGAAUUAGAGUGCAAAAUAGUAGUGACAAUAUAAUUGACCAUGAAUUUGAUGUAAGACUAAACAAUCAUAGUAUAGACAAUUUAGCAAACAAAGAAGAUAUCAAUUCAACAAGAUAGUUUUUAUGUAAUUAUACACCAUAGUACCAACCAAGCAAGAGAAUGAUGGAGAACUAGAAAAUAAAAUAUAUAAGAGCGCCACACAAAUCUAAAGUUUGGCAAAUACCACCAAACAUGGAGCAAAAAUUCUACAUGCAAGUAUGGAGCAAGAUACAUCACGAGAUCAAAUAAUAUCUAAACUAAGUCGUAUGCUUGAAGAAAAUACAAAAGUCAAUCCAAUGUCUUUGAUACUUGAUAACAACAUUAAACUAAGAAUCAAUCCAACUCAAGACAAGUGGACUCACACAACCUUUGAACCCCAAGGUUAGAACACUAUCAUAUACAUCACAAAAUCAGAUUCUUUUUUUGAUAGCAAGGAAUUGGAUUGAGAUAUCUUUUAUUAACUUCAUAAAAAAGUAUAAAGAAGAUACAAGAAAGCGGAAGGUCUUAUCUAGACAUAUUUUUCACUAAGUUUCACAUGGAAGGCAAUUGAAAGAGAAGACAUUAUCAUGCUCAUAUAAUAAAUAUUACCACACUUCCUUAGAUUCUUUCCAAAUUGCUAUGUUGAAUCUAUAAUAACCUAAAAAUUCCAAGAAUAUACCUUGAUAUAAACCCAUCUAAUAGAUCUAAUCUACCAUAUACUACUAUUUUAGCUAAUAUCAUUUGAAUAACUUAACAUUAUUAUUUUGAAUAAACUCAAAAUCAAAUAUCAACAAAAGAUGGAACAACUUAGGAAAUACAUGGUACUAGACUUUGUCAGAGAUGAAAAUCCUAGAAUAAAGAAACUAUCUAUAUGGGCCAAUACUUGGUUAUAUCAUACCUUCAAGUACCUCAUUAUUUAGGAUAAUAACAAUAUAGAAUUCUAGUUUACAAACUCGAAGGAAGUCAAAUAAACUUUGGUACAUUACAAUUACAAGAUAGAUAACAAAGAAAUAUGUUAUCAUUUGUAGACACCAUACUAUGAAUAAGAUCCACUUGCUACACACAAUCAAUAGAAGAUGGCACUUGGGAUCUAAGUUUUGGGCCUCUUCCAUAUACUACAAACCAAGGAUCUCUUUCAAGCCAUACUUUCACAAAAUUUUGAAAUAUUAAUAGUAGAUAAUAGUGAACUAUGCAAAUCCAAGCUUUCUAGAUUAAAAGUUUGAAUCUUCACCUAAAAUAUAUUAGAACUCCCAAAAACCAUUAGAAUUCUAAGAUUAGAUAUAAAAGACAAUAGUAAAUAUGACUACAUCCUAUCAUAUAGCGACUUUAUAAUAUAAUGCUAUAGAUGUUGCUUCUACAAGUAUGACACCACAAACUACACCAUACCUUGACGACUAAUUGCUGUUAGGGACAUAGUCCUUAGACCUUUCUAGAGACAAGUUUCUAGAACCUUCUAGAAAGAAGUCUCUAGAAACAUCCAGAAGAUUCCUUGAAUAUUCUCUUAGAAUAUUCCUUAAAGAUUCUCUAAAGAUUCUUUGAAGAUUCCCUAAAGAUUCUCUUAGAAGGCUCUAGAAGAUUCUUAGAAUAUUCUAGUAGAUUCUAGGAAGUUACUUGAGAAGCUUCCUAGCUCUUGGGUAGUUGCUCGAGAAGCUUCAUAGUUCUUGGGAAGCUUCUUGAUGCGCUUCCUUAGAACCAUAGGCCAGUAGUAUAUAUAGGAGUCGAGGCUGAAGAGUUAUUCAGUCUCGACAACACAUCUCUUGGAGUUCUAGCUCACCUUUCUGGUGUUGUUCUUGUACUCAUCUGUUUAAUCUAGUUCUGCCACUUCUUCUAGAACUUCUUGUUAGAUUUCAAGUCUGUAUUUUGUGUCCGUGACAGUUUGUCGAGACUACCUUGAUCUUAAUAUUAGAGCUGAAUCCUUCUUGUUUGAGAGCGGAUUACCCCUCUUCUUGAAGGUAUUCUAGCGCUUUAGGGGUUGCGGAUUACCUUCCUCUAAACUGAUAUUUUCUCAAUCACAAUAUCAGAGCUUAGUUCUUUGAGGCAGAGAGUGGACUACCCCUUUCCUUGGAGAUACUUGAGCGUUCUAAGGGUUGCGGAUUACCCUCUCUUGGACUGAUAUUAAUUCCUUCUUUUUGUUUAGCAUAGCUAGUAAAAAAGACUGUUAACAUCGAUUUCAGAGCUUUGCCUUCUUGAUAGAGUGCGGAUUACCCCUCUUCUCGAAAGCAUUGAGGCAUUUUUAGAGGUUGCGGAUUAUCCUCCUCUAAAACUGAAAUCGUUUAGUGUUUUUUUUCUUUUCUCCGAGUAGGUUUUAGUGAUAGGUAGUGCUACAAUUUUCUCCAAGAGACUUAGCAAUUUCUUCUUCUCUCAAAAUUUUAAUCCAUCUAUUCUCUAAAUAUGGAAGUAGACUAGGUCAUAGACAGUGCAUCUCCACAAGUAGACAAUAGAGUGGCAACUCUUGCAGAUCUUCAAGCUCUUAUGAAUAGUGUACGAAAGGAGAUUACAUUUCUUCGCAAUCCAAGUAAAGAACCUCAAAUUGAUCUAGUGACCGAAGAAGCUAGACGCAAAAUUCAUAGCCUACAACAAGAGAUUAUUCGACUGAGAGAAGCAAGACAUGUGUCACAUACGACUCCUAUGGAUACUUCAAGGAUUAAUACGAAAGAACCAAAAGCGAGUAUGCCAGACAAGUUUGACGGAACAAGAGCCAACUUUCGAGGUUUUGUGCAACAAGCACGGCUUUACCUACGCCUAUAUCCUUCUCGUUAUCCGAAUGGAUUUACCCAGGUUGCUUUCAUAGAUACUCUUCUAUCAGGAAAUGCUCGCUCUUGGUUUGCUCCACUAUUGGAGAAGGAUUCUCCAAUAUUGUACGGCCUAGAGGCUUUCAUAGAGAGACUUACUGUUGCGUUUGGAGAUAGCGAUCGAGAAAGAGUGGCUGAAAGAAAGAUACAAAAUCUGCGACAAGGAUCACGUUCUGCUGCAAUCUAUGUUGCAGAAUUUCAACAGCUUACAUGUGAUCUUGAUUGGAAUGAUGAGGCGUUCAUGACACGAUUUUAAUAUGGACUGAGAGAUGAUGUCAAGAACUUAUUGAUCACCAUGCCUAAGGCAGAUACUUUAGAAGAACUUAUAUCUCAGGCAAUUAUUUGUGACAACCGCCUCUUUGAAUUACGACAAGAAAGACGAUCAGGCUGGAGAAAUGAUGGAGCAUUUGCUACAUUUUCAAAAGGUCCAGAGAAUCACUCCAUAGAUCCUGAACCCAUGCAAAUUGAUGCGGUACGUUUCAAACCCCUCACAGUUGAGAAAAGGAAGCGACGGUUUGAACAAAACUUGUGUUUAUAUUGCGGAGAAGCAGGCCAUAAAGCUGUAGAUUGUCAGAAGAAACAGAAGCCUCAAACAACAAGACUCAGGAGUACAAGCAUGCAGGAAAACAAGGACGCCCAGCCACAAUAGGGACCGUGCAGCUGGACAUCUCAACAUCCAAAAUUAAUCAAGGUCCCUUUCUCUCAACUCAACCUUCAGAUUGUUUUAUGGUACCUUUACAUCUGGGUAUUCAAGAACUACAAGUCGAUGCUUUAUUAGACUCGGGUGCAUCCGCUUGCUUUAUAGAUGAAGAGUUUACCAAGCUUCACAAUAUUUCUCUUGUAAAGAAACUUAAGCAUGUCCAUGUAGAAGUCAUAGACGGACGACCAUUGUCUUCAGGCAAUGUUAUCCAUGAAACUAAACCAUUGAAGGUACGUCUUGAAAACCAUGAGAGCAAUAUUGUGUUUAAUGUUAUCAAGACCCCUUCAUGUCCUAUCAUUUUGGGACUAUCUUGGCUUGAUAGAUAUAAUCCAUUGAUAGAUUGGAAGUUGCGGAAAGUGACAUUUCCAACAAACUCCUUGAAGGUGGAAUCUGCCAAGACAAUGUCUAGAAACAAAUCCUUGUUUAUAAGUGCAAGGGCUUUCAUGAAGGAAGCCAAGCAAAAUACACCUCUUGUCAUCUUCGCAACUCCGACUCGAGAAGAUGCAACUCCGACUUUGGUUAUUCCAAAGCAGUAUGAAAAAUUCAAAGAUGUCUUUGAAAAGAAGAAUGCUGAUAUGCUGCCAGAGCAUCGACCCUAUGACUGUGCCAUUGAAUUGCAAGAAGGAGCACAACCACCUUUUGGACCAAUCUACAAUUUGUCGCAAAUGGAGUUGACUGAGUUGCGGAAGUACAUUGACGAGAAUCUAGCCAAGAACUUCAUCCGUCAUUCGAAGUCGCCAGCUGGGGCACCAAUCUUAUUUGUGAAGAAGAAGGAUGGCUCACUACGGAUGUGCGUGGACUAUCGAGGUCUCAACAAGGUGACAAAAAAGAAUCGCUACCCACUGCCUUUGAUCUCUGGUCUUCUAGAACAACUUGGGCGUGCAAGGAUCUUUACAAAGAUUGACCUAAGGGGAGCUUACAACCUUGUGCGAAUUAAGGAAGGAGAUGCAUGGAAGACAGCGUUCCGAACAAGGUAUGGCCAUUUUGAAUACAAUGUCAUGCCAUUUGGUCUUACUAAUGCUCCAGCGGUCUUUCAACACAUGAUGAAUGACAUCUUUCGAGAGCAUCUAGACGAUUUUGUUGUCAUCUAUCUAGAUGAUAUUUUGAUAUUUUCUAAGAACGAGGAAGAACAUGAGAAGCACGUUUGUCUGGUACUCAAAAAACUAUGGGAGCGAGGACUCUAUGCCAAAUUGGAGAAGUGCUUAUUUCACCAAACUGAGAUGGAGUUUUUGGGAUUCAUCGCGACUACGGAAGGCUUGAAGAUGGAUCCAAAGAAGGUGGAAGCAAUCAUGUAUUGGGAAGUUCCGAAGACGGUUAGGGACGUACAAUGUUUUCUUGGAUUUGCUAACUACUAUCGGAUCUUCAUCAAGAAUUAUUCUCAAGUUGCUGCCCCCCUCACUCGGUUAACGUGUAAGGACAAGCUCGAAUGGGGACCUAUCGUAGAAAAAGCAUUUCAAGAUUUGAAGAUGGUAUUUACUACAGCUCCAAUCUUGGUACAUCCGAACUUUACAAAGGCCUUUUAUUUGGAGACAGAUGCUUCGGAUUUUGCUUUGGGAGCUGUACUUUCACAGAUGGACGUAGAUGAGAAGCUCCAUCCAGUUGCGUUCUAUUCUCGAAAAUUCUCUGCUGCUGAGAUCAACUAUGAGAUCCACGAUAAGAAACUCCUUGCUAUAGUAGAUUCUUUCCAAGAGUGGUGCCACUUUCUCGAAGGAACUGCACAUCCAGUGACCAUAUAUACGGAUCACAAGAAUUUGGAGUAUUUUAUGUCGGCUCGGGUUUUAAAUUGACGUCAAGCUCGGUGGAGUAUGUCGCUAUCCAGGUUCGACUUUGUUAUUACUUAUCGGCCUGGGAAGCAACAAGGGUUGCCCGAUGCAUUAUCAAGGAGAUCAUAUCUCGCGCCAAAGGCUGGAGAUGCAGCAUUUUAUCAACAGUGCACGACAUUGUUGAAGCCAGAGAAAUUUCGGCUCAACGCAGCUAUUGUACCAAUUGAUGCUGACUUCCUCGACCAGGAACGGGCCGCAACCAUUGAAGAUUCUCUAGCCCUUGAUAUCAAGCAACAUGCUAGUGAUGAUAAAUUCAAGAUGGAAGGAGAACUAGUAUAUUUUGAAGAGCGGUUGUAUAUCCCAAAAGGGCCAACACGACUCCGAGUUCUUCAAUCUCGUCAUGACUUUCCAGCUGCGGGACAUUUUGGAUUCAAUAAGACCUUGGAACUUAUUUCCCGCGAUUUCUGGUGGCCUCAAAUAUGGAAGGAUGUGAAAGAUUUUGUUGUAUCUUGUGACAUUUGUUCAAGAUCCAAAAACCCUCGACAUCGGCCUUAUGGACUUCUACAGCCAUUGCCUAUUCCGCGCCGACCAUGGUCUUCGGUUUCUAUGGACUUUAUUAUAGAUCUACCACCAUCGAAUUCAUUUGACAGCAUUUUUGUUGUCGUAGACCGGCUUACAAAGAUGGCGCAUUUUGUCCCUUGCAAGAAGACAUCGUCAAGCGAAGACACAGCAAGACUCUUUCUUGAUAAUGUGUAUCGAUAUCAUGGUCUACCAGAUGAUAUCGUAUCGGAUCGAGGAACCCAGUUUGUGUCAAAGUUUUGGAAAUCUCUUUUUGAAAUAUUGAAGGUGGAUAUCAAGCUUUCUUCGGCAUUUCAUCCUCAAACGGACGGCCAAACAGAACGGGUGAAUCAAGUUUUAGAGCAAUAUUUACGUUGCACCAUCAACUAUCAACAAGAUGAUUGGGCCGCAUAUCUACCGCUAGCCGAGUUCGCAUAUAACAACACCCUUCAUGCGUCAACUCAACAAACGCCAUUCUUUUCCAAUUAUAGAUACCAUCCGAAGCUGGACUUAUGGAGUUCGUCAACGAUUAACAAUCCGGCAGCUGAAGGAUUGGUGAAGGAGCUCUCGCAGCUUCAAACUACAUUGAAGCUUGAAUUGCAAACUGCCCAAGAUUCUUACGAGGCGUCCGCGGACAAAUUUCAGAAUCAGACACCUAAAUUCACGAUUGGAGACAAAGUUUGGCUGCUUCGACGAAAUAUCUCUCCAAGAUAGCGUAGAACUUUGUUAGUAGCCCAAGUUUGUUCUUAUUGUUUUAGCCUUUGAAUAUGGAUAGUCAAGAUACUACACUUGUCAUGUCAUCUCAAGCAACUAGCUCACGAAGACGACCGCGAGAUGAAGAACCGCCUGCACCACGACGACGUCGAAGGAUUCCGAGCAACAGAUCGCUGGUGAUUGUAUUUGAGGUCGAGCCUGCCUACAAUGGUCAGCCAAAAAGAGUGUUUGCAGGACAAUUUACAAUGAAGACAUGGAGGUUCAUGCUUGGUCAGAAGUUGAAGGCGUCGGCCACUACCGUUGGCUUCAAGGACCAUUGAAUCACUUGCCUCGUGAAUAACAAUUGGAGUUCAUAGCAGAGGUUAUGCGACAGAUCUUCAUUUUCUUGCGUUGGUAUUGACUGACGAUAACAUUGCUUCUCGGAGACCUCGAAGCUAAAGGAGGAUGUGAUGUUAGGGACAUAGUCCUUAGACCUUUCUAGAGACAAGUUUCUAGAACCUUCUAGAAAGAAGUCUCUAGAAACUUCUAGAAGAUUCUUUAAAUAUUUUCUUAGAAUAUUCCUUAGAGAUUCUCUAAAGAUUCUUUGAAGAUUCUCUAAAGAUUCUCUUAGAAGGCUCUAGAAGAUUCUUAGAAUAUUCUAGUAGAUUCUAGGAAGUUACUUGAGUAGCUUCCUAGCUCUUGGGUAGCUGCUCGAGAAGCUUCAUAGUUCUUGGGAAGCUUCUUGAUGCGCUUCCUUAGAACCAUAGGCCAGUAGUAUAUAUAGGAGUCGAGGCUGAAGAGUUCUUCAGUCUCGACAACACAUCUCUUGGAGUUCUAGCUCACCUUUCUGGUGUUGUUCUUGUACUCAUCUGUUUAAUCUAGUUCUGCCACUUCUUCUUGAACUUCUUGUUAGAUUUCAAGUCUGUAUUUUGUGUCCGUGACAAUUGCUCACAUAUUCAAUGAAAAACCAAACUACUUUAGUAUAUAACUUUGAUAUAAUUUCUAUGAGCAAUAACCUUGAACCUAAUCCCAAAUAUAUACUAACAACUUCAAGAUCAAAAUGUCAGGCUAGACACCAUAUAUCAAUGGAGUUUGUAUGGCAACUUGUUAAAUACAAUCCUUCAAAGAAAAUUACAUCUUUCUUACAAGAAGAAGCUAUCAAGUAUUACAUGACACAUAUCUACUAUUCUUUCUAGAUAACUCUACAAUGGAAAUUUUAGUCGUAGGAUAUUACAUUUUUAGCAUCAAUAGCACCUAUGAUAAUAAUCAAAAAUAAUUAUAGAGAGUACAUAAUCUUCUUAUCUAUACAUGCUACCUCACCACAAUCUCUUUUUAUUUAAUAUAUUACCAAAUUAAGAUCUAGUGGACAUGAAAAGAAGCACGCAACCACUUAGUCAAUCAAACCAUGCUUCAAUUUUGUCUUAAAGUUAUUUUCAAAAACAAACAUAAGUACCUUUUGUAUAAUUAAGAAGAAGCACAAUAGAUAUAUGAAUAGGUAUAUUCUAUGGAUUUAUCCAAAUUUUUUAUAAUUAUUGUUUUUAUUGAAUACAACAAUACAAUGUUUUCAUUCAAAGCCAACCAUAGCUAAAUCUAGCAUGUGAUUUUUCAUUACAUAAAUAAAAAAAUCUUCAUACAACCUUCACUAGAUAGUACAACCUCAAAGAUAGAAAAAUAAGGCCAUCAGGUUUUCUUUAACACUACACCCUUAUGUGAUAUAUGUCAAGACUUUAUCAUUCCAAUGGUUAUAUCUGAAGCACAAAUCCAAUCAAUUCUACCCAUAUAUGAAAGAUUUGUCUACAUCCCAUAAGCGAACUUUUAAGGAGGUACAAUUGUUUAUUCUUGCAACCUUGAAUGUUUAAAUCUUGGGCUGUAAACAAGAUGGCAUCUUAAAAUGAUGUAAGUUUAGGAAAUUUUUUACAAGGACUAUACCUAGGUCCAAUUUCAUCUUCAUUCAAGAACACAAAUUUUCACCAUAUGAAUAUAGAGAGCAAAUACAACAAGUCAACUUUUGCAGCGAUAUCAUCCUUUGGAACAAAGCCCAUUACUAAGCAUCAAAAGACUUUAUCAUUAAAAGAGUCUACAUCCUCAUUUUUAAGAAUAUGAUUUUAUGUGUUAGCAACAAUAGAAUAAUAUACCUCAACCAAGUAUAAUUUUUAACUUUUUAAUUAUCAUACACAGUCAUAUUAGAAAUCAUAAAUAUUUAUAAGUAUGAUGAUACUGAUAGCCAAGCUAGCUUCUAGAAAAAAAUCUAAUAUUUUUUCUUUAAUUACCUAUUUAAAAAAAAAAAAAAAAAAUCCACUAAAAAUAUCAAUCAUGAUAAUUUUUUUAGUUACACAUCUAAAUUGAGCUACAAGAUAGGACUUAAUAAAGAGCCUAAUACAAUAAAGGACAUACAAUAUCUCUUUGAUUGCAGUAACAACUCCAUACAACACCAAAGAUUUUUUAGUAAUAUUUUUCAUCUCUAGAUUCUUCAAAAAAAUAUUAGCCAUGCAUUAACUCUUAUUAAUAAGAGGUCUCUUAAUUAGAGAAUAGACACUAUAGACUAGAAGGGAGAAAAAAAUAUAUAAGCUACAACUUGAUAAUAAAAACUGCAAAACAUGCACUAAUGAUGUGUUUGAUAGUUGAACCAACAUGGAGUUUUUUUUAUCCUUUAUAUUGUCAAGAAGGUAAGCCUCCUCAUGAUGAUAUGGGAUUCUUAAUUGCAAGUUGAUGGUAAGAAGUACAAUGUUGCCCAAAUAAAUUCAUAUAUAAAAGAAUAGCCAAAAGGCUAAGUAUAAAUUUUAGAUUAAUUUCUUUCUUCUAUCAAGAUGCAUCCAAUUCCAAACUCUAAUCUCAAAUACAAACCUCUUUUUACUAAAAUAUUUACAAUUUAUUUAUUAUUAAUUCAAUUUAGAAAAAAUUUAGGUCAUUUAAUAUAACUUAAAUUUUAAAUUUUAAAUUAUUAAAGUCUAUAAAAAGAAAUUUGAGAAAAUGAGAGCCAAAUCAAAGAAAAAAAGUUUGCUGCUUGCUAUAGUUGCCACCUUCAAAAUCCAUAUCCACAAAUUCACUUAGAUCUCUUCAGUCAUAGUUCUUCUUCUUCUUACAUACUAAAAUUUGUUAGAAGCUAACAACAAGAUCCAACUUUCUUCAAAAUUUUAAAUCAAAAAGAUGAAAAUAUAGAUAAUGGCAUAGAAAUUCCAAACUAGUCUUGAAUCUCAUCCCUCAAAAAUUAUAGUGAUCCCCUCCUAAAAAUUUGCAUGAAUCUCCCUUUUUGUAGCUCUUUUUUUUUUAUACUAAGUCCUAUUAGAAAGUAAGAUCUAGUAUUUUUUUUAAAUUUUUAAAUUUUUAAAAAAAAUCCAAUAAAUGGCAUAAAAACUCCAAACUAACCUUAAAUUCCACCUCCUAAAAACUCUAGCAAUUCCCAUUUCACAAACUUGCUUGGAUCUUCCUUGUCAUAGCUCCAUUUUUUGCAUACUAGAGCUUGUUGGAAAGUUAAAAAUAAGAUCUAGCUUCUUUUUAAAUUUUAAUACAAAAAAACAAAAACAUAAUAAUAAGCACAAAAAGACCCCAAACCGGAUUUGAAAUUUGUUGUUUACAAACUCCAAUGACCUCCUUAUUACAAGUUCAUAUAAAUCUUUCUUGUCAUAGCUCUUCUUUUUGUAUGCUCAGUUUUAUUAAAAAGCUAACAAUGAGAUUUAGCUUCUUUCAAAAUCUUAGGGAAAAUAUAUAUAGUUUUAGGAUGAGAAGUUUCAAGAUUAGUUUGAAAUAUAUAUAUAAUAAAUGGCAUAGAAAAUUCCAAACUAAUCUUGAAACUUCUCAUCCUAAAACUCUAGCAACCCCCCAGUAAUAAAUUCCUAUCCUAAAAAUCUAUUUAAUGCCAAAAUCUCUAUUCCAAUCUUUUCCUAAUAUUUGCCUUGAACUAUUAUAGAUUUGAAUAUCUAUCCCAAAAGACAAUAUCUUUAGAUCUUGAAUUGUUCAUUUAAGCUAAUAAUCUCUUAUUCUAAAUUUCAUUCAAAUUUAUAAAUAUAUUAGUAUUAUAUUCCUCCUUCAUACAAGUAAAAUUAAUUAUUCUUCAAAUAAAUUUGAUUAAUUUAAAUUAAAUAUAUUAUAACAAUACAUAAAAGAAAAUUUACUUGAUUUCUAUAUAACAUGGAUCUGCAUCUUCUUUGGCCCCUUCCAAGAACUAGGAAAAAAUAUCAUAGAUCUAUAGUGGAAUACCAAGACCUCAUGCACAAUGAACUCUACUACUUCCUUGGAGAUCCUAAAACAUGCACUUCUAUAGAAUACAUAAAUUCAAAAGUGUUCUCAUGAAUUCAACAAUACAUUCUUUUAUUUAGAAACAGGCCUCUUACAUGCUUAAAAUAUGAUAAUCUAUGUCAAAAUAGAAGUUUGGAAUUCUAUAAUCAACAUUGAAUGUUCAACCUCACAAAUUCAAAAUAUAACAAAUAUUUUCAAAAAGGUAUGGAACAUGAUAGCCAUCUUUUGUAUCAUACAUUUUAAUCUCCCCAGAUUGAAGUUUCUUCCACUACUAAGCUUUUUACUACAACAAUAAGCCACUAUCCUAUGCAGCCAACCAUAUAAUAUAUCUACACACCACAUACAUAUGGACAAUAUAUUGGCUGCACUUCUUGAUAGUGACAUGGAUUUAGCCAUUGAACAGUUCUUCAAAGAAGUCCAACAUAUCUUCAAUAUUCAAACAAAUAAAUAGAUUAUCAGUCAAUUAUCUAAUGAUCUAAUAACUUUUAAUGUAUUGGAAUGCUUCCUAUAUCCAAUUGCCUCCAAUUCUACUCCAUUCAAAGUUCAUGUUGUCAUAUUAUGUGUAUUCUUAUUUAAAAAUGCAUCGGGUACUUAGCUAUAGAAGAUAAAUAAAAAUAUAAAAACAAUCCUACUAAAUCUAUUAGAAUCUCAAAUAAAUUUUAAGUAAUUUUUAAUAAACUUAAUAAAAUUUUAAUCAAUUUAAGUAAAUUUGAAAGAAUUUAAAAAAAAUACAAAGAAGCCAUAAAUUAACCUCAAAGAAAUAAAAUAAAGAAAAAUUAGAGAAAUAUUUUUAAAAAACUAAAAAAAUUAAAAUAUUAUAAAUAGAAAAUUUUAAAAAUAAAGAAUCUUUCAAAAAAUUAAAAUAGAAAUCUUAAAUAAAUCUUAAAUAAAUUCUAAUAAAAUCCUAAUUUAAUCCUGAUUAAAAUUUUAAUAAAUUUUAAUUAAAUCUAAGGUCAAAAUAUAAUUAAAUUUUAAUUAAAAUCCUAAUUAAAAUACUAGUAAAUCCUAAUCAAAUCCUAAUCAAAUCAUAAAUCCUAACCAAAUUCUAAUCAAAUCUUAAAUCCUAAUCAAAUCCUAAAUGCUAAUUAAAUUUUAAACUAAUUCUAAGAAAAAUCUAACCAAAUUCUAAAUCUUAGAUAAAUCUUUACCAAACUAUAUAGAAAAUUGAAAAACCAAUAACUAAUAAUUGAAUCAUUGAUUUUGAUUCAAAAUUUUUAAAUUCUUCAAUAACUAAAUUAAUAACAAGCACACAAAAUUUGAAGAAGGUCACAUAUACCAAAUAGACAAAAAUCCAUAAAUUCCACUCAAGCAUUAUCUGGCAUCCUUCUCUAACCUUAAUGUUGAUAUUCGAGAGUCACUAUCUCUUAAUUUUACUAUUCAAUUGGUCCCAAACUUAGAACAACUAUCAGAAGUCAAGCUAGCAACUAUUGAACAAAAUUAUAUAUCAAUCCAAUUAGCAAAUUUAUAAAUAUCUUGAAAAUCUUCACUAAUCUUUUAAACCUAAUUUUUGACACCAUAAUCUACAAAAUUUCUCAUACCUUCUAAUCUAACCAUUCAAUUGACCUUAACUUUCUCACACACAUUUACAACAAGUACAAUGACAAACUAUCAAAUUUUUACUUGUAAGCAUGCUACAAAAUUCACAAUAUUUUUAAAUUUAUAAAAUUAUUUUAUUUUUCAAAGUCUAAACCCACUAAGUACAUCAUUCAACUUUGAAAAUCCCUCAAAAUCUCAAUUAUAUCCAAAUGAUAUGAAAUCAACUUCCAAAUAUAUAUAUAUAUAUAUAUAUAUAUAUAUAUAUAUAUAUAUAUAUAUAUUUACUUUUAAGAUCUACUCUCUAAUUUACAAAAGAACUCUAAGGUUGCUAUGGAUGUAUAGUUUUGAACCUUAAGAUUUGAUUUCAACUCAAGUUCACAACAAGUCCUCUCUAAGUAUCAAUUUUUGAUAAUUUGAGAUAUUUUUUGCUUAAAUCUAUUAUUAACUUUUUUUUAAAGAUGCUUAUAUUAUUUACUUUUUUAUUUAUUUUGAUUUUAGGUAUAUAUAUUUAUAUAAGAUAAAUAGAAGUUUCUUCUAUUAAAAAUAAUAUUAAGUCUAAAAAUUUUAUUACUUUUCUAUUAUUUAUCCUUAUUUUUUUAUUACAUCUUUUUAUUAGAUUCUUUUAUAAUAAUAUCCAUAUUUUUAUUUUUCACCAUAUAGUUGUGUUAUUAUAUCAUAAUGUCCUCCCAAAUACACCACCAAAUACUACCGCCUCUCCAUCAACAUUGAAGAUUCUACUAAUACUCUACUCUAACAAUUCCACAACAAAGUGGGUAUUUAACACUUCUACCUACCAGCCAACAUCAUCAUUAAGCAGUCUAAUCCAUGAUUAGCUUAGCUCCUAUAAGAUCUUUAAACAAAGAUCAAUACUAUUGUGGCUACUAUUGCAUCCAAAUUGGUCAUUGUUCCUCUUUCACCAUCACAUUCUCUACAAAUGGCUUGAUUAAUUACUGCAAUGAAUAUCAAAAUACAAGGCAAAUUAGACUUGACACCAUACACUCAAGCCAAUCUAUUUCAAGUAGUAAAUAUACUACAAUGAACACAUGACUUCUAGGGCUCACUUAUUGCCUUAGAAAUCUAUGUUGUCAUUGCCCAACAUCUUAGCAAACAUGAUUAUAAUUAAUAGAUGGUAGAUAGCAAGGGAUACUUCUUCCUCGGCAUAUAUCAUCCAUCAUAACAAUAACUUCUCGUUCAAAAAGGAGUACGGUCAAAUCAAACAGCUCUGAGAAUAUUCAACUAUAAAAAUUAAACUUUAGACAUUCUUAUUUCUUUGUUAUGUGUUAUAUUGCCUCACUAGCUACUUGAUUUUUUAUAAUAUAAGAUUUUAGAAGAUCAUACAAAUAUCUUAAAUACCUUAAUGGAUUAUGAAAGUUGAUUUGAUUAUAGCAACCCCGCCAAAAGGCCAAGGUAAAACACAAUAUAAUUAUCAAAUUUACUUAAAUCCUAAUAGAAAUUUCAUGGAACAUAUUGCAUUUCACUAAUAUAUUAGUGGCUAAGUAAUCUCCUAUCAUGGUAUAAACCUAGGUUUGAUUCUUGGCUCUGCAAAUUUGCUCCACCUUGUCAAAUAGAACUGCCUAGUGUAUAAGAAUGUGUGACUAUUAACCAGAAAGGCAGAAGUUAGACCUCUCCAUUUAGCACUUCUAAGGUAUCUUCACCAUUGUCAAUGUUUUGCAAAUCUAUCAUUCAUUUUAGAAAAGAUCUUCUAAUCAAUUAAAUUUUAGAUCCAUUUUUGUUCAAAGUAUAAAAAUUUAAAUUUUAGAUGCUUCUAGUAAUAAGUUUUGAUUUCUUUUAUAUUAAUAUAGUAUUAAUCUAAGUAGUUUAAUCAACCAAUUUACAAUCCAAUCAAAGUUAAAUCUAAGAUUAAAAAUUAUAUUCAUACAUAUAGAUUUGCAUAAAGAAUUAACUGAAAUUUAGUUUGUAUAUUAAGAAAAAUAAUAAUGGGCUAAAAAUGUAAUUGAUAUCUUAAACUUAUAUUUUUAAUUUGGGCAUAUUAAAGUACUUACAAGGUUCUUUUAAGAUACAAAAUCUUUUAUUAUUAUUAUUAUUAUUAUUAUUAUUAUUUGUACAGAAAAAAAAUCGUAUUACAAGUAGAAUUUAAAAUCCUAUUUUUACAUAUUACUAAUAAUGAAAGAUCAAAUAAUUCCUUAUAUUUGAAUAAAAAAUUAUAAUACUUGAUUGAUCUAAAUAAAGCACAAAGAUUAAUAAAAUGUAAAAACUACUUUAAAGAAAAGAAAGAAAGAUUUUAAAAAUUAAAAAAUUACUCCAAUGAUGUAGAUAAUUGUCGAAGAUAUUAGAAAAUUUUAAUUUCUAACUAAAUUUGAUGUUCCUUAGACAUAACCUUACAUCAUCAAAGAAGUCCUUAAUAAUAAUUUAGUCCUACUUAAGGAUCAAAUAGAAAAAAAAUGUGCUUUUUUGCUUAAUUGAAAAUUGGAUUUUAUUCCUACCUAAUCCAAUUUCUUGUCAAAGGGACAACUUCUUAAUGUCAAAAUUGUCAUAAAAUGUAGCAAUGCAAAUACUUUCAUCUAAUACAUUUGUUGAUUAUUCAUCUCUAAUUUGAAGGCCAAGCACUUAAUUUUUUUCUUUCCACCAAUUAUCUUAUUAGAAUCCUUUGUUUUCUUGACAAUUAACCAUAAUGUAAAGUGGCCCUUAAAUGUUAUUGUAUGUAGAUUGUUUUUAAAAUAUACAUUCAAUGCAAAAAUAUUAGUAUUAAUGGAAAGAUAAAAGAAAGUAAUAUACUUAAAUAUUAUUAAAUGUUUUAUGUUAAGGAAUAGAAGCCUCCAUAAUUUAUGGUUAAAUUGGUUGUCAUCAACUUUUCAGCACUUACAUUAAUUAUCACAAAAAGUUCAACUUCUGCAUACCCAAGGGUAUUUAAAUAGUUACAAAUUGUCUAACAGAAAAGUGGCAAUUAAAUUUGUAGUUUCAAAAAUUCAAGGUUAUUUUGACUGAAUCAAUUUAAGCAUUCAAAGAUAUUUUUCAUUAAUAUACAGACUUACAGAAAUAAUAUAAACUAAAACAGAUUUAAAAAAUGAGAAACAUAUUGAAAUGGCAACAAAUGUAUAUACUUAAAAACAAUUUCAUGUUAAUUGUAUUAGAUUUAUUCUUGAAAAAAUAGGAUAUUUUAUUUAAAAUUCGAAAUAUAAUAUUAUUAUUUUUAAAUGUUCAUAUUAUAAAUGGGUUUUUGUACUUAAGGGACAAAGUGAGAGGCUACAUUUUUAAAAUCUCUUCAUUGGCUAAAACCAAGAGGUUUUUCCAUUUCAUCAUCAGAUUAAAGGAUUUAAAAAUUGUAAUCUCUUCACCUUGUCCUCAAACUGCAAAGACCCCUUAAAAUGCAUACAAUUCAUUGAUUUCAAACAUGUGAUACUUCUUGUGCAGUUGAUUGUUUCUACAUCAACAAAACAAUAAAAUGAUACAAGAAACUAAUUCUGGAUAUUCAAUGCAAAACAAAUACUUUAUUAAAGGAGCAAAUUAUUUCUGGAAUACUUAUGGAAACCCAGAUUCUUUUGGCAUAAAUUACAUUCUUUUAUAUAAUUCUGAUAUCUAAAAAAUAAUCCUGAAUUAUUUGAGAUUAUUCGGAAUCCAGAAUUAUUUUGGCAUUCAAUAAGAUUAUUGAACUCCUCUUACGCUAGAUACAGCACUCUUUGGAGCAUUCAAAUGAGAAUGAAAUAAUAACUUUGUGAUUCAGAAAUGAUUCGAACUAUAAAUAUGGUUGGCCAAAUAAACAAAGAUCAUAUAUACAUAUACAUACAUUAUUAUUAUUAUUAUUAUUAUUUAGAUAUUGUGUUUUUUAAAUAAAAAACAAAUUAACAAGGAUGUUAUACACUUGAAUAAACAAACAAAGAAAACAUUUUUGAUAGUAUUGUUCUACCAUAACUUUUGCCUUAAACUGACUGUGAAAAAAGCUUCUACUAAAAGCCAUGCAUUUAUUACAAAGAGGUUUUAAAGUCUUGGGAAGCUGACAUGUGAUCAUGAAAAACCAAUCUAAAAUCAUUUUAAAUCUGGAAAGCCUUGUAGGUAAUGCUCCAUUGUAGUAAAAAUUUGUUUUGGAUGUUUCUUUAAACUUUAAUUUGUUGUUGUAUGACUUCUACACUAGCCAUCAUAUUUGGAAGUAAAACCAAGUUCAUCCACAAUGUUACCCACACUUAUUUUUAGUGAUAUUUAUUUUGCCUCAAUACAACCAUAACAAUGAUUUGAAUAUCAUAUCAUUUAUUUGACAACAACCAACAUUGAAUUUCCUUAUAUUUUUACACGUAUCUCUACGUAGAAUAUCAAGAUUUUAAAAACAUUUUAAGUAUUGUGGUUAAAUAUGCAAGAAUACAUACACAGAUACAUACAAUAAUCAACUGCAAGUUGUACCUUUCAAUAUCAUAAACCCAGAUUCUGAACUACACAUACAAUAUAAAUUUAGCAGCGAACGCGCUCAUUUAUUCCACCAAAACCCCCAAAACAAAUGGCUCAUGAGAAGGGGCGACCAGUCAAAGCUCCUGAACAACAUCACUAAAAGAAACACGAAGCGCCAGCGUGGCGUCCAAGUCGACUCACAGGAUUAAUUACAAACAGCGGCUUCAGACUCCACCUCAGCCCUAAAAUUCUAAACCCCGAUUCUCGAGCUCCGUCGCAAUUUGAAUUUUUUUCAUCUCUGGCGUGCGUCGGAGCGACUGUUGCUAUGUCUGUGUCUUUUAUACCAUGCAACUUGCUGUGCUAUUUUGCUAUCCUGGCGCUUAUUUCAUCUCAGACAGCUCCUUUGCUGUCGCUUCUUUUGGCUUGCUGUUCUUACUGUUUUCUGAAGUCGUGACCUGACCUGAAGUGUAGUAUCGUGUGCUUAAUCUCGUUGUUUGCUGUCUCUUGUCUUCGUUGGAUUUCUUCGCUGUAGUCUGUGUUGUUGCCCGUUCCACACCUGUCAUUAUGUCUCUCCGACCCAGCGCCCGGACUGAAGUUCGCAUGAAAGGAUACAAGCUUGCUGUUGAUGCCAUGGAGGCGAGGAGAAAGAGAGAGGAUGGGAUGGUGGAGAUUAGGAAGUCCAAGAGGGAUGAGAACCUUCAGAAGAAGCGUAGGGAGGGCUCACAACUGCACCAGCAGUUCACUCCCGCCCAAAGUGCCUCGUCAGAGAAGAAGGUGAUCUGAAUGAACGUUGACAGGAUCGAAAACUGGAAUGCUAUUAUUUUUAUUUUUAUUUUUAUUUUUGUCUCUAUGAAUCGAGUCUCCCCCUUAACUUGAGAUCAAUCGGAUCUGCGAGUGUCGAAGGAGACUUGUGAUGCCAUGGUGCAUUGUUUAAUUUGCUAUGUCUUGUAUGUUAGCUCUUCUGUUUCGUGGUUCGACUAUUUUGUGCUGUAUUGAUCUUGAUUUCUCUGUUUUAUUCAAUGUAGCAACUUGAGAGCCUUCCGGGGAUGGUCGCCGCGAUAUGCUCGGAUGAUCCAGCUACACAACUGGAAGCGACAACUCAGUUCCGAAAGCUGCUCUCUAUUGGUACGGUUUAUCUCAUCCGUGAUAUUUUACCAGGAUUGAGGACCUUGUUGUCCGAUUCUUAGCGUUUAGACUCACAUUUUAUGCCCUUACUCAUGGCGCUUCCUCUCGUUUUUUCAUGCGCAGAACGCAGUCCUCCAAUCGAGGAAGUCAUAUCGGCGGGUGUUGUACCCCGCAUUGUUGAAUUUUUAGUCCGUGGUGAUUUUCCGCAGUUGCAGGUACGACUGCUGCAAUGAAUACUUAGUUUACAGAUAAAUCAAGGUUCAGGUGUAUUGGUAUCUCAUUGUAAUGCUUCUCUGCAGUUUGAAGCUGCAUGGGCGUUGACGAAUAUUGCAUCAGGCACGUCUGACCACACUCGCGUGGUGAUCGACCAUGGGGCUGUUCCCAUAUUUGUCCAACUUUUGAGUUCCCCAAGCGAUGAUGUUCGUGAGCAGGUACAGUAUAUCACAAUAUUAAUAUAGUUCUGCUUUAAAGUGUUCGCCAUGGAGGAGACGAUAUUGCGUAUCUAUAUUGUACAGAAGGAUUAUUGUGAGGUCGUCCUCAUUAUCGACUUUCAAGACUGAAAUACUCGUCCUUUUCAGUUAAUUAACGACUUUCUGUAGUGGUUGCCGUCUCGUUGUGAACGGAGCAACUAGAGGCAAUGUGUCAGUCUCAUCUGAAACUCUUCUAUCCCUCAUGUCGUUUGAGUACACCCAUAGUAUUCCGUCAUUGCGUAUCUGUAACCAUACGUACUUAUUUCUUAGAUCAUGCUUUGCUUGUGUUAACGAAUUUGCUGUAUCCUGUCUGGUGCAGGCUGUUUGGGCUCUGGGUAAUAUCGCCGGAGACUCUCCUAAAUGUCGUGACCUUGUGCUUGGUCAUGGAGCAUUGAUGCCUCUUCUCGCCCAGCUUACCGACAACACUAAAUUAUCCAUGCUCAGAAAUGCCACUUGGACGCUCUCCAACUUUUGUCGUGGAAAACCUCAGCCUUCCUUUGAACAGGUAGCUCUCCGCUUGCAGUUUGCGGUUCAUAUUCGCUGGGGGUGAUCUGCCACCUGGUAUGGCUAUGUGACCUUUGUCCGACCGACUCAUGUUCUCAGUUUUGUAGUUGUAACGUGUGUAGAAGAACAAAAGUCUUCUUUUCUAACGACUCGGCCUCCUCUUUGCAGUCCAAACCCGCACUCCCCGCGUUGGAGCGCUUGGUCCAUUCCACCGAUGAAGAGGUCCUGACUGAUGCGUGCUGGGCUCUCUCUUACUUGUCCGAUGGGACCAAUGAUAAGAUUCAGGCCGUUAUUGAAGCUGCCGUGUGUCGGCGUCUCGUAGAGCUUUUGCUGUAAGCAUUCUCAUUAAACCAUAGAACCCUGAUCUUUCUAGCCGUCUCCUUAGUGUGGAAGUCUCUUGAGUACACAGAUUAACCCGGUUGUUUCUUAAAUCUAGCAGCCACCCUUCACCCUCAGUGCUCAUCCCUGCCUUGCGAACAGUCGGAAAUAUUGUUACUGGCGACGAUCUUCAAACACAGGUAUCCAUACAAGAUCUGAAAUCAUUGCUUCGCUGUUUCUUUUCAACAUUUCUGCAUCAAAGUUGUUCAUGUGUAUGUUACGGUCGUCACCCAUUAUUUCACUUUCCAUCCCGUCAUCAGUAGUGUUUACGUGCGUGUUUACUGUCGCGCAGUUCAUCAUCGACUGCCAGGCCUUGCCCUGCCUGCUCGCACUAUUGACCAACAACCACAAGAAGAGCAUUAAGAAAGAAGCAUGUUGGACUAUCUCCAACAUCACUGCCGGAAACAAAGAGCAAAUUCAGGUUGGAUUGUAAUUUCGUCUGCGCAUUAGUUUCUGUUCGUUGUUGUCAAUAGGUUUGAAGUUCGUCAAAAUAUGGUUCUGUUCUGAAUAUUGGCUCUGGCACCCCAUGACUAAAGCUCCUGUACAUUCCGCAGGCUGUUAUCGAUGCCAACAUUAUCCCACCUGUGGUGGCUCUUCUUGCAACUGCCGAAUUUGACAUCAAGAAGGAGGCCGCUUGGGCGAUAUCCAAUGCUACUUCCGGUGGAACGCCCGAGCAGAUCAAGUUUCUUGUCAAUCAAGGGUGCAUUAAGCCUCUUUGUGACUUGUUGACCUGUCCAGACCCAAGAAUUGUAACGGUUUCCCUUGAAGGACUAGAAAACAUUCUGAAAGUUGGUGAGCAGGUCAAGGAUAGUGGUAGCAACGGAGAUGUGAACUUGUAUGCUCGCUACAUUGAUGAAGCUGAAGGCUUGGAGAAAAUUGAGAACCUUCAGACUCACGACAACAAUGAGAUUUAUGAGAAGGCCGUCAAAAUCCUGGAAACGUAUUGGCUGGAAGAGGAUGAAGACCAGAACACUGCUCCUGUCACAGAAGGUCAAAACUUUGCUUUCGGCUCGAGUAAUCCCUCAGGUGCCCCCCCUGGUGGCUUCAACUUUGGUUAGGUAGUGGAACUCUAGUACGGGUCACUGUGGGUGCACCCCGAUUAUGAUUACUGAGGAAAAGUCACCAGGUUGUUGACCUAAUAGUGUAGGAGUGUGAUCAACCAUUAGGCUAGCAGAACUAUUCUUUUGUACUUGAAUGCUUCAUCUCGAGUUUAUUCAAGGCCCGUCAGGAUAAUACGCACCAAGAAGAUUUCAAACAAUGCAUGGCAGAAUUGCGUGGACGCGCAGGAUUAUUGCCAAGGUUAUUGUAGUGCCAGACAUGGUCCGAUGUGUGCAGACUAUACGCUGCAUACUUUCGACUUAAACCCAGGAUGCUCUGUUAAUGGGUUGUCUCAAAAUCAACAUUGAUGUGCCACUGCUAUCCUACCUGACGUCGUCUCUGCCCCGCCCUCACCAAAUCUGAUGUUUUCAGUGAGGAACACUCUGUCAUAGCUGCCAAGCGCUCCCAUCCAGUUGUUACCAGCUUGACAGUUUAAUUUGAGGAUUGAUUAGUCUAAGGUGUCUAAAUUCCUUAUCACGUACCUUUCUUGACCAGGAAGAUUGCAAUAGAAUUAUUCAAAUUCAAGCCGAUUUUUACAAGCUCAUGAAAUUCUUCUCAAAUGCAGUUUCGAUAUUCAAGGCUAGACUGUGAGGAAAGUAGCAUCACAUUCGUGACUGCAUUUUUGCACAUUCAUAAUUUGUCGAUUCAGAGUAAGUGCUUUCUUAACAAUAAUCCCUAUACUUGGCCAGUCAAUACAUAUUAUAAUCAUAAUUAAAUCAUAUAUAUCUACCAUUGCAUGAUAAUGUAUUGUAAAUUUGAAUUCAUUUGACAGGAUGGAUCAAGAUCAUAUACUCAAAUAUUUGAUUUGUUCAAUUAGUAGCUGAUUUAUGUUCUAUUCAACAUCACAAGUCAGAAUGUGACGUGAAAAGAACAGAUAAAUUCACUAAUUAAUUAGAAGAAAAAAAAUAUAAUACACUACAUCUUUGUUCUAAAAUUAAUUGAGUAUCAAACAAGUUGUGAUAAAGACCGCUUCAUGUGUAAUGUCUUAAUCAACAAGGAAAAGCAGAAUUUUAAAUAUGAUUUAUGUAGGAGAUUGAUUAAUUAUAGUGAAAUAUACAUAUAUAUCAAUAUAUAUAGAAUGUACUAUCAAGACAAUUUUUAUUGGAAGAUAUUGAUAAAAAUUAGAGAUCAAUAAAAUGAUUAUUAAUAUAACUAUAUAAAUGAAUAGCAAAUCAUUUUAUAAAAGAACUUAAAUCAUUAUCACUAAAAGUCCUUGAAAUCAGCAUCUACUUUGGAUUCUCACAGUGCAAGUCUAUAGUCCAACAACAAAAACGUUUUAUUACAAGUAUUUAAUUACAAUUAGAGUAAUUACUUGCCAAUUGAAUUCUAACAAUAAAUCUAUUUCUAAGUGAGUAUUUGUAAUAUGGUAGUAUCAUCUUCUUCGUUCACAUAAUAAUUUUUUAGGCAACAACAACUAUGUGUUGACUAGUAGCCAAUAUGGCAGCUAUAAGUUAUCUCUCUGAAUAUAGAAGUUGCAUGUUGAUAUUGAAAUCUUUAUAAGAUAUUAUUUUAUUUUAUUUUAUUGUUAGUUUAGAAUAUUCUUUGAGUCAAUUACUUAUCUUUGUUAAUAAUGAAAAAAUUCUUUUGUGGUCAAUUCAUUUAUUUUAAGCUUAGCAUUUUCCAACCAUUCUCAAAUUACAUUAUUCCACUAAUCUACAAGCAUUGUAUUUCAUCUUAACUAUCUAUUAUUAUCCAAUACAUGUUUUUUCUACUAGUUAACAUUUUAAAAGCAAAUUCUUCUUCAUGAGACUAUACUAAUAUAUUCAUAUAUAAAAAUCCAAUUAAAGAUAGAUCUUACCAUUGUUUGAUAUUUUAGCUAGCAAUUUCUUAUAAAACAUAUAAAGUUUCUAAAUCUUUGUUUAUAUUCUAUUUGUUUUUUAAAUUUAUUUUAUUAAUGUUAUUUUAUCCAAAAAUUUAAGAUAAAAAGAUAUAAACAAGUUGUAAAGAAUGUAUUGUAGUCCACGUUCUUGUAUUUUUCUAACUUUAUAUGAUCUAGUAGUCAUUGAUUAGGUUUUUUAACUUUUUCAUAAACAAUCUUUCAUAAAACUUGUUGAAUAAUAUAUAUAUAUAUAUAUAUAUAUAUACAUUUUCUUUCUUUGAAACAUUAUAAUUCUAUGCAUUGAAUUUCUUUAUGAUAUAAUAUUCUAUUAACUUUAUCAUUUUAGAAAAAACAUUAAAUUUUUAAUUUUUGGACUUACUAAAGAUUUAAAUUUUCUAAAAUCAACACAAUAUAUAAUCGAAACCUCAUCAAAUUUAAGAAAAGAUAAAAUCUUAUAUUAUAACCUUACAAUCUCUUUUAAGAAUAAAAUUAAAAAUCUUAAAGACGAAUUAUAAAUUUUCAUGGUACAAUAUAAUAAAAAAUUUAUUAUCUACGGACUCUUUAUAUUUAGUAGACAAGUGAGUAGUUACAACUUUUAAAUUCUUUAAUUGAUUGAAUUUUAAAAAAACCUCCUUGAAUGCGCUUUAUACUUAGAAAAAUAAUUCCAAAUACUCAAAGAAGAAGUAAUGAAGUGUAAUUCAAAUAUUCUAACAUUUUUGUUGGGUCUAUCUCUGGAGGCAGUUUUUAGAAAAAAAAUUAAAAAUUGACUCAAGAGAUGUUUAAAAUAAUUAAUGGGAAAAUAAGAGUAAAAUAAUAAUAAUAAUAAUAAAAUCAUGAUUUUAAAAAUAAAGAUAUGACUUGACAUAUUUAGACUUGAAUUAUAUAUAUAUAUAUAUAUAUAUAUAUAAUUUAUUUCAUAGCCUCUUUUUAUUACAUGUUAUAUCAAAAGAUUAGGUUUACUAGUUGAAAAAUAUUUUUUUGUAAGCAAGAGACCUUAUCAACACUUUUGAACCAUAGCUUAUCAAUAUAAGUUUUUAGGUAUAAAAUCUCCUUAAGAUUUAAGUUUGAAGAUAAAAAAUAUAUACAAACUUGUAAAUCUAGCAAGAAAGAUUUAAAACAAUCAAUUACAUUAUUUCAUUGUACCUAUUGAAUUUUUAUACUACAAGUUUGUAAUCUAAAUAUAAAGACAUUUUAUUACAAAUAUAUACUAAUAAUUAAUUAAAAAUAUCAUUGACUUAUAUAUAGUCUAUUAUUAGAAUAUAUGAUGAUUUGGUAGAUUCUUGAACUUACAAGUUAACUAAUAGUCAACAUGGCAAUUAAUAGUUGUUUUGUUAACAAAGCAAUAAUAACCAUUUAUUUGGAUGAUUAUACAAUAUAUAUAAAAAAAAUUACAUAGUUAUAUAAGCAUUACAUGAUAGAAUUUGAUUUUUUUGGUUGUUUAUAAAUUUAGUGAUUAAAGUGUAUAAAGAUUUUGUAAUUUUUAUUUUAUUUUAUUAUAUAUAUGAAUGUUAAAUAGACCAAGGCUUUUACAAAAUUGACACACCCAUCCUAACCAUCAUAAAAAAAGAAAAUCACAUCUUAAUUCAUUUCUCCACUACUAGAUUUGAAACCAAUGAAAACCAACCACAUUCAUCAUGAUUACCAUAUUCUUCAUCAUUUGAAGGCAUACUUAGUUAUAACACCCACCUAGUUAAUAUUUCUCUAUAUUCAAUGAAGUCCAUGGUGAUGUAUUUUUGACGAAGUCAUACACCCCUACAAUAUUGUUUUUUCUCUUACUUAAAAUUCAAAGUGAAGAACACCAAGUUUCAAAUAAAGUAAAUAUGAAAGAAUACAACAUCCUCUAUAAGAAAGGGACCCUAUUGACAUACAAUUCUUGAUUCUCAUAUAACCCAUGAAGUAAGGAAGAUCAAGAUUCUGGCACACAUCAAACCCAACCACCACAAUCACUAUAAAGCUCUCCAACCAUAGAUGCAAAAUAUCUCUACACAUUGAUGACAUAGCCAAUCUACCUUGAUAAUAAUAAAAGGAAAAAAAAAAAAGAAAAAAAGAAAAAAAGAAAAAAAGAAAAAAAAACUCAAAUCUCACUUGAUGGAAAUGUCUUCCAAUUUUUUUUCUUAAAGCAUGUAAAAUUGUUUUUUUUGAAAAUAUGAAAAAAUCAAAUAAAAUUUCUUGUUGAUUUACAAUAUUAUUUUUACUUCAUAUCAAAUGCAUGCGAAAAAAAACUAGUAAUUUAAAAAAAAAACACACAAACAAAGAGAAAGUAAAAGAAAAAGAAAGCAACAACAACAAUCCUUAGAGUGUUUUGACAAAAAGAUUGAAAGCCAAGUAUGGCCAACAACCCCAAUGUACAUUAAGUCCCAUCUGUCGAAAAAUUUCACAACCCAAUCUGUAAACAAAUAUCAUCUUUUUCCAUAGAGUGAUGCGAUGUUAUGCACCAUACUUGUUCAAACAACCCAACAAUAAAAUAGUGUGCAAUUAAAUAGUGUGAGAGAGAGAGGCAGAGAGAGUAGAAUGAAGCCAAGUAUUGAUAAUAACUAAUAAAUACUUUUUUUUAUGGGUGGGUUCCAGAGCCUAUCAGAGUGCCGCUUGUCCAGCCCUGGGAAUGGAAAGUGGCCUUGUAGAAUGGAACCACUCGUAGGGCCCCUGGAAUAUCCACCAAUACCCGCCGACGGACGGUGGAGAUGGCGCCCUAGAUCCUACGGCGGAGAGAAAUCCGAGGCCCUAGCUGCAAGUCGGGCGGAGGGGCCCCUUUUUAUUGGGAUGGGGGAAAAGGGAAGAGCCCUGCUUGCUCACUCCAGGGUGUCAAUGGCAGGCUCCGAAUAGUGCUGAGCAUCACUUGAUUCCUCUCCGAAUUCUCCCCCCCUGUCCUUAAGGAUUCCUCCUCUUGACCACCGGAUUGUGAAGCUCAAUUCUCUCGCCGAUAAUUUGGCCCUAUUCUCGCUGCUUCUCGUCCUGUAUCGUGUUCGUCUCGGUGGUUGGAGUGGUUGUGAGAGUUUGUGUUUUUGAGAGUGUUUUUGAGGGUUUUUUUUUUUUUUUUUUUUUUUUUUUUGGGGGGGGGGGGGGGGCUGUGAUUUGGGUUUGGCAAGAUGUCUCUUCGACCGAACGCCCGAGUGGAAGGUCGCAAGAAGGGGUACAAACUCGCGGUCGAUGCCGAUGAGGCGCGCAGGAAGAGGGAGGACAAUAUGGUGGAGAUUCGGAAGAGCAAGAGGGAGGAGAGUUUAUUGAAGAAGCGGAGGGAUGGUAUGCCGCAGCUGCCGCAGUUUGUCCCGUCCGCUCAGAGCUCUCUGUCUGACAAGAAGGUAGGUAGAUGUGUGUUUUUGAAACCUAUUUUCUUCAAAUCUGGACUUCGUUGAGAUUCUUUAUAGUUCAAAGUGAGGUUGAUCUCGGAAUGGGCUCCGUAUACAUUGGAUCUGAUGACAGGUCUCGUUUUUUGUGACUUAGCUCCCACACAUGCCCUAGAUUUUGUGCUUGGUUCCGCGGCAUUUCAUUAGUGUUUUUGUGGUAAACCUAAUUUGUUUGUUUUUUUUUUUUUUUUUUUUUUUUUUUUUUUUUUUUUUUUUUUUUUUUUUUUUUUUUUUUUUUUGCCAGUUGCAGCAACUUGAGAGCCUUCCAGCGUUGGUUUCUGGUCUUUACUCUGACGAUCCUGCUACCCAGUUGGAAGCAACCACACAAUUUCGAAAGCUUCUGUCUAUCGGUAUGACCGUGUUAUGUAUCAGUUUGAGUUCCCUCUUGAGACGUGAGAUGUUUUCAGUAAAAUACUGCGCAAAAAGGGUGUGAUUUCGGCUUACGUUCGUGAUGGAAAUUUCCAUAUGCAGAGCGGAGUCCUCCCAUUGAAGAAGUGAUUUCCGCUGGUGUCGUCCCCCGUUUCGUGGAGUUUCUAGUCAGGAGCGAUUUUCCGCAGUUGCAGGUAUUAAUAGUUGCACUGGAUUGUUUGCAAUUGCUAGCCCCACGUAGGGAAUUCAACUUCGGUUUCUUACACAUGGAAUUCUGAAUGCAGUUCGAGGCGGCAUGGGCUUUGACAAAUAUUGCAUCAGGGACUUCUGAUCACACACGUGUUGUCAUCGACCAUGGUGCUGUUCCCAUCUUUGUUCAGCUCCUAAGCUCUCCCAGUGACGAUGUCCGAGAACAGGUACCGAACAUUCAUUCUGGGUUUUGAUAUGCGUAACCAACAUUUGGAGGUGCCUGGAAGAAAUUCAAUAUUUCGUGUUAUCUAUUCCUUAGGAUCUCUUGUUAUUGACAAACUUUCUCUUUGCAAAAACAUUCGUAACUUACUUUGCACAUCCUAGGUAGAUUGAAUUGAAGAGUAGUCCUUAGUCAUCGUCUACUGAUAUGUAGGAUUGAUUGAGUGGUGGCUGAACCUCGUGUUUCGUAGUUUCACAUUGUGAUCUUUAGCUAGGUGUCAUGCUUUUGUCGACUGGAUUUCAUGCUGACCAGUUGUGCCGACUUGACUGUUAAUAUUCUCUUUGAACAGGCUGUAUGGGCUUUGGGAAACGUUGCUGGUGAUUCGCCGAAAUGCCGUGACCUUGUUUUAGGUCAUGGGGCCUUGAUGCCUCUGCUUGCGCAGCUUACGGAGAACACAAAAUUGUCUAUGCUUAGAAACGCUACCUGGACUCUCUCCAACUUCUGUCGUGGCAAGCCUCAACCACCUUUUGAGCAGGUAUGUGAUGUGAUUAUUACGCUUACUCUAUUAUUAUUAUUCUUAUUAGCAAGUGAUUUCGUUUGACAGUAAGAUAUUCGCUUCUCUCUUAUUUUCUUCCUUACUAUCAAGUUUCAGUUCAAUCAAUUUCUACGAAUUCCUUCUGAAACGAUCAUUAUGUACUGGGAUAAUUCUAAUAGAGCUACGGAGUCUUUGUUUGCUAAUUUCUUGUUUCCUCAUCGGUUUUAUUUAUCCACGUAUUUAUCGUUUUUAUGUUUCCGCUCCUCGUUUCCAUUCUCUUCGUUUCAUGAUCCUAGGUAGCAGUAAAACACUAGGAUUCUGACUAAAUCCAUCACAUAUUUUUAUCUUGUAGUCGAAACCAGCGCUUCCGGCCUUGGAGCGGCUCAUUCACUCAAACGAUGAAGAGGUUCUCACGGAUGCUUGCUGGGCACUAUCUUAUUUAUCCGAUGGGACGAAUGACAAGAUUCAGGCCGUGAUUGAGGCUGGCGUCUGUCGUCGACUUGUGGAGUUAUUGCUGUAUAGCUUCUAAACCUUCCUUCAAAUACUGUCUUGAAUUUAUGCUCUUUGGCUUCAAUUUGGCCUUGACGUCUCACAUAUUUUUCUCGAAAGUUCCCUGAAGAGUCUAUUAUCCUUGUUGUGGUUUGUAGCAGCCAUCCAUCGCCCUCUGUACUCAUUCCCGCGCUGCGUACUGUUGGCAACAUUGUGACUGGUGACGAUCUUCAGACACAGGUUGAGCUCCAUUCUGGAAAUAAUCUGGUUUCUAAUAUAUAUCCGUUAAAAUGUGAUUAGCAUUUGCAUAUACCAUUUCGUGAUUGCUUGCAUUUUAAACGGCUCUCAUAGACUUAUUAUUAAAGGCAAACAUUUCCACCUCGUCCCAGGAAGUUAUCACCCAUAUGUAGUUCAUGACUAUUCCUUGAAACUGAAAUACACUUCCAUUAUAAUCAACAUGAAUUCAAUGUCUCAGGAGUGUUCUUGCCAGUUCAGAACUAAAAUAAGGGUUUGGAAAAUCUGUUUUGGUGUGUUUCUAUUUAUUCCUCUUUGACUUCUAUUUUAUACCACUCGUCCCAGAAUGGUUCAACUUGUGUUGACUUUGUUCUUGCUUGUAACUAACAUCCUUCUUGUAUUGUUGUCUUGGAUCAGUUCAUCAUCAAUAAUCAGGCCCUUCCCUGUCUUCUUGCUCUUCUGACCAACAAUCACAAGAAAAGUAUCAAGAAAGAAGCCUGUUGGACUAUUUCCAAUAUAACUGCAGGAAACAAGGAUCAAAUCCAGGUAAAAAUAUUUUUCAUUGUGUGAUACUUGUUCAAAAAUAUUUAUUUCUUGCAUGCACUUUUGAGUGAUGGUUCGACUAACAUUUUACAUUGUUUGCUUCGAUGCUCUGUAGGCUGUUAUUGAUGCCAACAUCAUUCCACCUUUGGUAUCUCUUCUUGCCACCGCAGAAUUUGACAUCAAGAAGGAAGCUGCUUGGGCUAUUUCAAAUGCCACUUCUGGUGGCAGUCACGAUCAGAUAAAGUACCUUGUUACCCAAGGUUGCAUUAAGCCACUAUGUGACCUUCUAACAUGUCCAGAUCCGAGAAUCGUCACUGUGUCCCUCGAAGGGCUGGAAAACAUUUUGAAGGUUGGGGAGCAGGAGAAAGAUCUUGGCCAGAGUGGUGGUAUCAACCUUUAUGCCCGCUACAUCGAUGAAGCCGAGGGUUUGGAGAAGAUUGAGAACUUGCAGACACACGAUAACAACGAGAUUUAUGAAAAGGCUGUGAAGAUUCUGGAGACUUAUUGGCUAGAAGAGGAUGAGGAUUCGAAUGCGGCACCUGGCACGGAAGGCCAAACCUUCGCGUUUGGUUCAAGCAACGCUGCAGGCGCUCCUGCCGGUGGCUUCCACUUUGGCUAAAAGGUAUGCAAAUCUCACCUUUCUAGUCCCGUUUCGGUGGACAUUUCUAUGUGGGGAUGUUAUUCUGGCAUUUUUUCUUUCCUAAUAGUUGCAAAGUGCUGUAGGUACUUAGCCCCUUCUGUCAAGUUGAUGGAGAAUAUUCGUCAGGCACCAGUAAGACAUGCUUUCUACCAUUGUUAAUACGAUGCAUGGUUGCACUUGGGAUUUGUGCAGGAACAUUUUUGGCCCUGGAAAGCUGAUACUCUGAAACAAGUCGACGAGGGUGGACCGCUGAGGCAGGGUAUCUAUAUUGAUACUUCACUAGCUGAGACCUAAGAUGUUGGAUACUUGGUAGGAAAGUGUCUGACCUGAAGAGAUUCAGACUCCGUAAUGGUGGCUGAGCAGGAAGUUUGGUUGUGGGAUCAUCUAAUCUCUAACAGAUCUAAUCUGCGCUAAGUGAUUCAAGUCCGAACUUUGACUGUCCUGACUGUCAUCACUUACUUGGUCUCGGUUGCAUUGACUGCAACCCAUAGUCGUCGGUGCAGAUGCUGCACGGACAACAAUUCUCACCCUUAUGUGUUCCUCAUACCAGCGAGAAGUCUAGCUUGGAAUUAGACGAGAGCGUCUACUCUAACAGCUUUAUUUACAUGUCACAUGUCACAUGAUGUGUGUGGGCUUUUACAUUUGAAUAGAUUCACGAACUAUGAGUGCAGGGAUUUUUGCUGCCCAUAGUCCCAAGUUGACUUCUAACCUAUUGGUAGGAUCCCAGUAUGAGGAGUGGAGCUGACCGUCCUUAAAUUUUCUCCAUAGUCACUGAUCUUUGGCCGCGCAAUUGUAUGGCUCACUGACAAGUGCUUACGAUUCCUGGUCAAUCUCAGACUCGUAAGCAUAACUCUACGAUCUAAAUGUCAAGCGGUGAAUCCACUGCUUUGUCAUAUCUGAACUGACAUGUCAUUCCUAAGUUACGGUUAAUUUAAAACCCAACUUUAGCACUGAUACUGUUUGAUUCGCUGGAACUAAAUGGAAUAUGUCAUUUUCGGUCAAGUCUUAAUUUAGUCCAACUUACUAAACUGAGUCUAGAAUUAAUUUAUGGGCUAACUGGGUUACAAGGUACAACCGACUUUUUCUUAGAUGAUGGAUCGUGUUCAUUGGCUGUGUAAUUUAUGCAUUUUCAUAAAUUCAUGCUCUAGCUAAUUCAUUUAGCUGCAACUGAGCAAACCGGUUCUUGCUGAAUUUACGACCAGUUUCCACAGCUGAGUCAUCUUGAAUAUAUAGUUCUAAUUCCAAUUCAUUCUGAUCAAUGUGCUGAACACAACUCAACAGCUGGGAAUUGAGCGUGUUAAUGUGAUAUCUUGAUGAUGCUGUACCUUACCUUUCUGAUCUCCUGCUGCAGUGUACUUUUGAUGAACAGGGAGUGCAGAUAGUAUUUUUAUGAGUCUUACUUGUCUGCUGCAUGAUAUUCUUGUAGAGUGUGUCUUGAAAAGCUUUCAAGCGUAGUGUUCUGAAAAGGUAUCUGUGGAAUCAUCAAAGCAUCGUACGUACUAUUCUCAGUUUGAAAAAUGUGUAUGCACAACAAUAUAUUUUCUAAUAAGGAGCUCUAUUAAACGAAAGUGGCUGUGGGUGUCUAUUGGUCUGACCUUUGUUUGACAUUGUACAGCACCUUGUGAAUUGUGCAAAGACGGAGAAAUUCUCUCGAAGUACAUUUUACUACAAUUUUCCGUCUAGAAUGCAAACCUCCCUUAUUCUUUUAGAGUGCAGCAAGCUCCAUCUCCUUAAUUCGUUUAGAGAGUGCAGCAAGCUCCAUCUCCUCCUUAAUUCGUUUAGAGAGUGCAGAAAGCCCCAUCUUCUUAUUUACUCACAAAUAUUAUUGUUGUAUAGGAAAGUAUGACUACUCAAAUACUCACUUCUAAACAAUCAGCAACAAAUUCGAUUUGAAGAUUUCGGGUUAAAUGACGAAACUAACGUUCAAGAAGUCUUACAGACAUCAAGUGCCGUUGUUCAAAAAAAAAUUCCAUACAAGUGAUCUUCUGACAGGAUAAGUCUAUUGAAACGAUAACAAAUGCUUCACUUAAUUAAUUCACUCACAGCUUGGCUAAUCGUUGUGAUUGGAAAAUUUUGCUGAAUAGGUACCCAGCUCUCACUCUGCCCUUUUAACAUCAUUCGUCCGUCACUCAUUCGUGUUUGCACAUAGAUGUUGGCUAGCUGUGUCAGAUUUUGUAUGCAGCUGACUGACUGACAACCAAUUGUUGGGAGGUGUGUAGGGUUUAAGAUGUGAGGUUUAGUAACAAAAAAAACACACAAAAUCGUUUACGAACAAUUACACAGGGUUAAAAGUUCAUGACUUAUUAAAAUGUUUCGGUGCAAUGAACAAUUUAGAUUUUUUGUUCAUACAGUACCUAAACCAGCCGGAUACCUAUUCCGCCACAGCCCUAAGUCAUUUAAAUAAGCAGUUACAAUAUUUUCUCAGUAACAAUUAAGCUUCUUUUGCGAAAAAAUAUGCUAGAAAUGUUGAUGGAGAUAGUCUUGUCAAACUCUUGUAGAAUUAUCAAUAGAAUUGUUAGAGACUAUUACUUUGUGAAUGAAUUGAUAAGAGCAAACCUCAAAAUUUUGAAGUUUUAUAAUCUUCUAAUGAUAAUUAAUGACGAGUUUAUAUUGAUCCUCAGUACGUCAAUUAACCUUCUUCUGACUGUUCACAUGCAAUAUAAAAUAUCUUUCAAAAGCAUAGUACAAUAUUGAUCUCAUUCGGAACAAUAACUAGACAUAACAAGAAAAGGUUAUGAAUUGUAAAAGCCAAAGAUCAUAAAACAGGACAGUUUGUCAAGCAGAGAAAUAUCCAAUUGACGAUCUAGAAAUCAUUUCUUCUUUUCGAGUAUAGUUGAUUGCUAGCGUACAUGACAAUACAACAGUAUUCGUUUACGGUCAUCGGAGAGGUGAAUCUGUUCACUGGCUAUUGCUGAUUAAAGAGAAAUCAUGUUGAUACUUGAUCUGUGACACCCGACAUUCUAUAAGAAAAGAAUUUCAGCUUUAUAGCAGGUGAACACGCAUGUCAGGACAGCUAGAAGCAGUUCAAUCAUCCAGCAGACGCCACGCCCUCCAUCACUAUCCGAGUGGAAGGAAACACAAACAUUGAUAAGGGAAGACAACGCAGUUACGUAAUCGGGAAAAUUACCAAAACAAAUGACGUCAAUAUGUGCAUUUUAACAGUUAACGAUGGGGUAUUGUCAAGCAAAUCGUCAGGAGGAUGGACUCUGCGAGGGAUGAGUUGCGGUGCAGCCACUUAAGGUAAAAUUGCAAAGCAUGGAGGCAUCUAAGAGCAGAGCGUUUAAAUGAGAAACAGCAAAGAGGGCCAUAGUAAGUUUAAGGGAUAGGGAAUUACUGUGCUCUUUUUCGCCAACACGGAGAAUUUCUAGGAUAAGUCGUGCGACACAUUCAAGAGAAACAGGGUUGCAGUGACAAGUAGUGACUGUGACCAAUUUCAUUAGUAAACAAUCUACACAUUCAAGACAGAAUCCACGGUCCCAGACGUGAAUAACACAAGAGAUGGUGCAAGUGCAUUGAAAUGAGGGUGCUUCCAGUGUAAAUGCCUGAUAAGUCUACAAAGAUUUCUACUGCAGCCCCCUUUUGGCUUGCAGGAGAUGGUUGUUCCGUACCUGAUGACCAAGAGCAUUUCUAGGAGAUGAGUUAGCCCCCCAUUAGGUCAAUGUUACGGAAAGCACCAUCUACAAAAUCACACCCCAUUGUCCAUCACCAGAUUACCAGCAGGAGAAAAGAAUACACUACAAUUCAAGUGAUUUCGGUUUCCACAAAAAAGUGGACACAGAUAAUCUGUGGCGAAUCACGCGGGAAACUAUACUACUGGACGUCAGCUAAGGAAUAACCAAAGCGAGACCAAGCCUAAAAGUCAAUGAUUAUGAACAGCUCCAAAAACUGAGCCGAGUCAUGCAGGUUGUGGCAAUUUCAGAGAAUAACACAGUUCUUUUGUUUUUUCUUCUUCUUCUUCUGCUUGGGUGGCUGAAGAACAACCUUGAUGGCAGCAUCAAAAACUGCUUUCACAUUCUGCAUAGACCGAAAGGCGUCAUAAGACACAAAAAUCUUGCAGCCAUGAUGGACUACAUACUCUGGCCACCCAUCUUCAUAGAUGCGCAAGCUAGAAUACAAAGGGAAAAGUUACAUAAUUGUUUAAAGCAGAGCCAACACAUCACAUUGAGCAUAGAAGCCACAAUUGAAUUCAAGCGUUUACCUGCUGAGUCUUAGAGCUACACUCAAUGUAAGAGGCUGCUCCAAUCGCCUUUCUGAGUUCUUCACCCUGUACGCAAUACGUGUUAACAUAAGAUUCUGCUAUCACUGGGAAAUCUUGUGGGAUGUAACAGGGAAUGAUCUAGAUAUAGACACCGAAACCGAGGUGUAGAGAUCACACACAAGUACGCUCAACCUAGUUCGGAUAUCCAGAUUUGGGGUGCCAACGGAAACUACUUAGCCAUUAGAACAGUCUGACGAGUGCCCUAGUAUCUGAAAGUUAGAGUGUCUUCGGAGCAACUUCUGUAUUCGUAGAAGAUCAAAAGUAGACAGUAAAGCUUCACUACGUACUUGGGAGGUUGUGAUCGGAGCCGCUCCAGGAUGGUCGGCGAAAAAUUGCUUGUCAUCUCGAAGAUCUGCCCAUUCGCAGUUGCAGAAUUGUGAGACGAAGAAAUCUUCUCAGACAGACUCCAAAACAUAUUGCAAAGUUGCGGGCGUCAUGUACUACAAAUAACUGUUGUAAACGACACCAGUCCAGCGUACGUCAGAACGAUCAGUGCAGCCAGAAAAAUACGAACCUAGCUUCGUUCCGACGAGGAUAAUAGGUACAGAUGGAGCGUAGUGUCUCAGUUCAGGAAUCCACUGCCAUGUAAUAAAUCGUCAGAAUCAAUGCAAUCCACCGAGUACAGCAAUCAACCAAACGGUCGCGCAUCUACUCCUUAGGACACAAAUGUGAGGCCACUGAUGCAGAGGGCUAGUACCUUCUUUGAGAUGUUCUCAUAACUAGCUUUGCUGAUAAGAGAGAAUGCUAGUAGAAAAACAUCAGCACCCCUGUAACUCAGAGGUCGAAGCCUGUUAUAAUCUUCCUGACCUGCGCUUAGAGAAAACAAAUGGAAUGAGACCAUUUGAAGAUGACAAGUCCUGACUGAAUGGUUCGAAAGUGCAACUUCUGAUCCGAUCGAGUCGAUAACAUUGCUAGUAAGACUCAGAUCAUGUAAGAUGCUAAUGCCAUUGAAUUAUUGGUCGGUCACUGCGGAUGCCCUUGCCAUACAAAACGCUAGUAAUCAGCUGCGAAAUGCCAAAAGAACACCAACUUAAGUUAUCUCUUACCUGCUGUAUCCCAUAGUCCAAGGUUUACAGUGUUUCCAUCGACAACGACAUUCGCGCUGAAGUUAUCAAAAACGGUAGGAACGUAAUCCUGCAAAAUAAGGAUUAACUCUUGAGAUGUCACCCAGGAAAAAUUAAAUAAUAAGAAAAGGAUAUAUAUAUAUAUAUAUAUAUAUAUACAUCACAGCGUUGGAUACCAAAGCCGCCUGAUAACGCUCGCACGAUAAUGACAGACGUAAGUUGUGACGAUUAAAUGCAGCAUAUACAUUAACCCUGAAGGCGCCACAAUAUGACUGAAGCUGAUCUUUAAGACGUAAUGGGACGGAAACUGAUAAUAAUGCCAAAUAAACAUAGAGUGCAGUGAAAUCUGUCAUGAAAAAGCGCCUGUCCAGAAACGGUCGCAGCUUACAGUAGGAAAUGUAUUGCUGGUAUAAGAAAUAAGCAUGCACGUCUUUCCGACUGCUCCAUCUCCUACAGUAACGCACUUGAUAAACCGAGAUGUGCUCAUGGCUAUGUUCCUAACCCGCCGACAACUAUACAGUCACGAUCCUACAAUAAAGCUUCAACCUCCCUUCCUAUUACGCAUUUCAAGUACGGUGUAGCAUGGCAGUAGAUCUUGAAAAUCCGUCCUCCAACCGCUGUGUACAGACCUGGUUCCACACUUAGCGAAGUCUACAUGAUCUCACAAACCGAAAAAAACCAAGUGCCGCCGGAAAAACCUCGACAUAAAAAUCUCCUCUGCUCUUCAGAUCUGCCUAAACCACAAGACACACUGUCCUCUGAGCAAUUUCCAAAACAACACCAGCUGCUUUGUCCAUAUCUCGAACCCCAAACCUGCACACAUACACACCACUCCACAACCACCUCGCCCGCUCAGCUCACCUCCACUCCCUCCAACUCUGCGGAAACCGCAGUCCUCUACCUUGUGUCCGAGCCACACCCGAAGCGAGACUAGCGCACGACACCCUCGCACGACGCCCUCGCACUACGCCCUCACACUCCCCCCCCCCUUACGCCGACCUCAACACUAGACCACCUCACGCGAACCUCCCUAGGCAAAGGAGCAUUUCACGAAGCAGAGAAUAGCCUCUAGAGAGUCGCUACGGUGAAGGGCGAAUUGUGGCGGAAGUGCCACCAGAAACGGAGUAUUUUCCAGAUCUGCGGCAACGAAGGGCAGGGAGCAGGAAGAAGACCUGCGAUGGAGGGAGAGAGAGAGGGCGAGCUUGCAGAGGCGAGGCAGGCAGGAGGACAGUAAAGCGGGCCGGGAAGGGGAGGAUUGGAAGAAGGGCUGUAGGCGAAGGAAAGCAGACGACGAUCGUCCCGCCCCGCCUCGUCCCCUGUCCGGCCCGGUCUGGCCUGCGCUGGCUGGCUUUCCCUUUGCUCGGCACCCUCAGUUUUGGCCGCAUUCCCCGAAGAGCCUCGUUUUAGCGCUCUGGCAGGCCCACUCCCCAACCCAGCCCGGCCCCGAUCCUGCAACGGCCCAUCGCUUUGGGGCCAGCCAGUCAGCCAACGAGCCAAGCCAAGCCAGCCAGGCGAAGGGAUUGAGUUAAGGGGGAUAUUAGAAAUUGGCAGUGGGGAAGUAUUAUACCUUUCAACUCUACCACCGUUUCAAAAGUACGGAGAACCCACCACUAUGUAUAUAUUUUUUAUGAGCUUUAAAAGUAUGACAUAAAUGCCAAGCUUCGUUACCAUGGAAAGAUGAGGCUAAGGGUGACAACAAAUAAAAAUACAUUACCUAUGGUUUGAUUAUUUAAAACAAUGUCAUUGCUCUUUUUCACACAUGAUUGGUGUUUUUAUACCAACCUUCUUGAAUGAUGCUUGUAUUUUUGUAUACUGAAGUAAAAGAUGAGCUCAUCAUGUCUUGAAAGAUGGUUGAUUUUCAUUUAACCGGAAUAUUCUUAUGAUAUUUUUUAGUAUCGAGGUGCUGAAUUGAGUUUCUUCGUCAUCUUCUUCUUAAAACAUUUUCUACUUGUGCCUUUAACUUUUAAUACGGUGCUUGUGUUCAAAAAAGUUACAAACACACAUUAAAUAGAAGGUUUCAUUUUUAAUAUUAUUGAAGCGUUACAACAGAACUUCAAAAAAAAGCAUUAUCACUUUAGAUUAUUGAACUUCUUUAUAGCAUAACAAAUGUUAUAAAAUGAUAAUUGAUACCAUUAAUUUAAUUGAAGCUACACUUAUGUUUUGGAUGAAAUUAUGGAGGUAAUCAAAUUAAAGACUUAUAUUUAUAUUUUAUUUUAUUCAUGAAUUAGGAUUAAAAUAUAGUGCCAUUAAAGAAUAUAUAUAUAUAUAUAUAUAUAUAUAUAUAUUUGAUUUUAUUAUUACAAUAAAAUUUCAAUUUUUGUUAUGAAUAACUAUUUGUAUUAUCUAUCAAUUAUGAACACUUUAAAUGAAUUUUGGUUCAAAAACAUAUACAAUCAUGUGAUUCUACAACAGUUUCAAAGCUAUUUUCAUCUUUUUUUGGUUUCACAAUGUGUCUUCUAUCUUAAAAUUUGUAUAUAUCUUGUGUAAAAUUAUAAUUAAAAAUCCUAUAUACAUACAUAUAUACAAAACAAUAAUGUGAUGUACUUUUAAGGAACUUUAACUAUUGAUGGUACUAUUAGAUUUAUUGUGGUUAAUCUUAUCUAAUAUUGUAUGUAGUUUGAUUUUACAUCAUUAUUAUUUCUAAGCUAAAAAGAUUGAGAUUGUUCAUUGAUAAUUUAUUUGACUAUGAACAGCUUUAGAUUUUGAUAAAAAGUAAAAUGUUUCUUAAUAUUCAUCAAAAUAAGUUGUGAUAUUUAUUAAACAAUUUUCCAUAAACUUAAAAAUGAAAAGAAAAAUAGAUUUAGCUAUAUAAUAGAUAGGCAGAGUUUCUUUGAAUAAAUUUAAUAAAAGUAACAUUUCUACAAUGUUAUUAUUGUGAUAAUUCUUAUUCUUUAAAAAUAAUAUAUAUUUUUAAUACUUCACUAUUAAUAAAAAAAACAUAGUUUGAUAUUAGGCUUUCAUAAAAUUUGGCAUAUCGGUAGCUCUCUUAUAUUAGUUUGCAUUUGUAUUUGUACAUAUAUUUUUUUACAAAUGUUGGAAUUCAAUUCAUAACUCAUAGAUUUAAAAAUGAUAUAAGCUACAUAUUAAAAAUUCUACAUAUAACUUAAGGUAAAAAAUUAAUUUAAUAUAGUUUCUUAUGUAAUAUACAUAUAUAUAUAUAUAUAUAUAUAUAUAUCAUAAGAAAAAGCAUGUUUAUCCUAUGAAUACAAAUAUGUAUUUUUUGAAGUUUAUAAAACAAUAAUAACACAAAAUAGAUGUUAUUAUGUCUUAGCUACUAAAUAGAAGGCAAAAGAGAGAAAAUAUAGUACACAAUGCAUAUAAAUUAUGGAAACAUUAUAAUUUUAUCUUAGAAAAAUUAUGAUUUAUACUUCAAUUAAGAAUCUAGAUGUCAUAGGCGUUGUUUUUAAAUUGCAAAAAAGAAGAAAUUUUAAGAUCCGAAAUUGAUUGUACAAUUUUUUAUACUCAAAUUGGUUGAUCGCAAAAGUAGAACUUCAAGAUAAGAUGUUUUAUCAUCAAUGCUAAUAAGAUAGAAACUUAGUUUUUAAAAAUUUUAAAUUUUAAUUCUAAUAACAUUUAUAUCAUUAUUUAGAAUAUUUAAAUAGAAGUAAUAUAUAAUAAUAAAUUUAUUUUUUAUUUAAUUUAUUUCAAUACAUAUAAUCAAUUAGCAUAAAAUAUCUAUUAUUUUAAAAUUAAAAUUGGUAUUUAUAUUUAUAAAAAAUACAAUAAAGAUGUGGUAGAUUUUAUAUAUAUAUAUAUACAAAAAUAUCAUAUAUAUCUCUUAAGUAUGCUAAAAUAUCAAGAAUAUCCUUACAUUUUUGAUAGUAGCAAAUAUACUCUUGAAUAUGUCAUAUUCAAGAUAAAGUAUCACCAAUCCGACAAAGAUACAAUAAUUUUCAUGGGUUUUUUAUUUUUUUAUUUUUUAUUUUUAUAUCAGGCCUAAACCACAUGCCUUUAAGAUUUUGCAUUGCCAAAUUGUCAAAUUGCAAAGGAGCCUAUGGCCCAUGUGUUGUGUACUCUUGGAAAAUUGGGGCUUUGUUCCUUGCACCUCCCAUGUCCUUUGUCAUUGCUGCACAAUCUAGGCAAGGCACCAAUGCACCCUUGAUUCUAAUGUACCUCUGAUAUUGGCUUCAAUGCAAUCCUAGUUUCUAGUUGAAACUUAGAAUUCAAAGUGUAUAUAGAAAUUCAUCAAUGGAAGCACAAAGGUGCAUGCCUUGAUAUGCAUGAUAUAUCACCACAAUCAAUUAUAAUAUAAUAGGCAAUAUUACUGCAAUUACGCUAUUACAAAGCCUCUCCCACAUCCUGCAAGUCAUAUUCAAUUAAGUUGAUGUCUAUGCCUAUCCUUAAGUGUUUAAAAAGUAUUAGCUUGUUGUGUUGCAGAUUCAAUUGUCUUCUUUAGAUAUCUUAUCAUAUUCAAAGGUACAUUUGCUAUUAUUAAGAAUGCAAGGAUAUUCUUGAUAUUUUAGCAUAUUUUAGGGAUAUUUAAGAUAUUUUUCUUGUUUAAAAUAGGCAUACCUAAUUUCAAAUGUAAUGUCUUGUUUAUUAUAUUUUUAUGCAUAUUAAAAUAUAGAAUCUAAAUAUCUAGUUAGCAUAGAUCUUAGUUCUAUUUAAUCUUAUAAAAUUUUAAUAUUAAAUUAAUUUUUUUUGAAUAAUUAUUUUUUUGAGACUAUAAAAAUCUGUAAUCUUAUUAAGUUUAUCAUCUUCUCAAAAUCUAAAUUCUAUAAAAUAAAAAUUAUAAAUUUAAAAAUCCUAUAAAUUAUGAAAAAAUCUAAACAUCUCAUAAGCACUAAAUUAUUAAAUUAUAAUAAAAUAAAACUUCUAAUUGAAUCAUUAGAUUAGCCUUCUACAUAAUGGUUUUAUUCGUAUCAUUUAAGCAAUUGCAAAAUUUGAAGCAAACAUAAUUUAUAAAUUUAAUAGUUUUUAUAAAAAAUAUAUAUAUUUUUUAGUUUAUUACUUUGAAUCUUGUAAAAACUUAUAGAAGCUAAAUUUCUACUAUAAAAAUUAAAGUUUUCUAAAAGGAUCAAAAUUAUUAAGUUAUGUCUUUUUAAACACCUUGAUUAUUUAUUUAGAUUAUAGAAAGAAUAUUAGAAUUUCAAUAAAUAUUUUUUGCAACCAAAUGGCUAACACAUUUCUAAGUUAUAAUUCACUUAAUAAAAAAAUAUAUUAUUAAUAUUUUAAAAUAUUUAUUUUAUUGAAAGUAUAAAUAUAUAUAUAUAUAUAUAUAUAUAUAUAUAAUUUUGUAACCAAUAUUGAAUUGUUUAAUUUUAGUACAUAUUUGGAUUUGUGGUCAUAUAUCUUUUGACAUCACCAUCAAAAUGACAAAAAAGUUUGAAAAAAAUGACUUAUUUAUAUGUCUAUAUAAUAACAAAAUUUCAAAAAUAGAUUAAGCAUAAAUGAAAAAAAAAAUCAAACUUUAUAAUAAUUGUUAUUACCUUCAAAACUUUGUUGUCUAUAAAAUUCUAAUUUUGAAUGUUUAGCAAAAAAAAUAUUAUAAAUUGAAAUCCUAUGAAUCUUAUAGCCAUAAAUUGAAAUCCUAUGAAUCUUAUAGCCAUCUUAUAUUUUCGAAACUAUUUCUUUGAUCACAUGUUUUAAUCUCUACAAAAAAAAAAAAAAAAAAAAAAAAAAAAAACACACACACACACAAACACAAACACAAACAAAAAAUGCUUGCUUGUCUUAAGCUCUUGUUUUUCUAUUUGAGAUAAAAAUUUGAUGAUGUCUUAUAAAUGAUUAUUUGUCAAGUAUGAAUCUUGUAAAUUUUUUUAAAAUUUUUACAUGAAUUUAGCCUUAAAUUUAUCUUAGAUGUGGUUUUAUGAAUUAGCUAUCUAAUAUACCUUAUCUUGAUUUACUUAUAGCCCAAUUGAAGCAAUAAAGAUCUUUUUGAUUAUAAAAGGUAGCAUAUAUCAUAAAAAAUUUAGUUAAAUUUGAUAUUUUAAUUGUUGAAGUAUAAGAAACAUUUACUAAACUUAUACUUAAAUUUUUUCCAUGUAUCUUGAUUUUUUAUUUAAUUUUUUAUCAUAUAAAUGUAUUGCAUCAUAAAAAAUAUUUCUUAAAAUUAAAAAACUUCAAAAAAUAUAAUAUAAUUACUUCGCAUAUUUAAAAGAAUCUAUAUGUAAGUCUAAAUCAAAGAAGUGAUGUUCAUAUUCGUUAAAGAAGAUAUUAUUUGUUAUACAUAUUUUUAUGUAAUUAUGUUUAAUUUUUAAAGUUAAGUGGUAUGCAUAUCUAAUAUUAUGUGUAAUUUAAAUAUAUUAUAAAAGUUACAUAAAUAUUAAAAGAUAUAGUUUUUAUAUAAUACAUUAUUACUCUUUUAUGAUAAUGAUGGUAGAUAAUGUGUUUAACUUGAUGUGUUACCAACUACUUAAGAAAGCAUAUUGAUGUAUCUGAUUUAUUUUAUCUCAUGAAUAAGACCAAGAAUAUUUAUAAGUUAGUAGUACUUGUUUUAUAAUUUUUUAAGAAUCUUUAUUUUUAUCUUUGCUUUAAUAUAGAUAAGAAGACUAAAAAUUCAAAUUAAAAGAUUUCAAUUUUCAUAUUUCUUUUGAUUAAUUUUCUUAUAGUGACGAUUAUAUAUAUAUAUAUAUAUAUAUAUAUAUUAAUCAAAAAAAUUGAUGUCAUAUUAUAAUAUAGAUAACCAUAACAAAAAUCUUUAAUGUUUUAUGGAGCUAAUUAAUUAAUUUUCUUAAAACUUUAUUACAGGCAAAAAAAUAAUACAUACAUACAACUAUUUAUAUAUAUAUAUAUAUAUAUAUAUAUAAUUUCGUCUUAUUUUUUAAUGAUUCAAAAGAAUUCUCUAUAAUACCCUUAACAAAAUUAGAAUGAAUAUUUAUUAAAAUAACAAUGAUAAGUAUAUUAAUUGAAAAAGAGUAGUAAAAAUAAUACCAUAAAAGAACAAAAACAUUCAAGAAAAGAUUGAUAACAUUCUCACAAGUUCAACUAAAAAAAGUACUCUAAUAAGAUUACUGACAUAAAACCAGAGGAAAAAAACAACCCUAACCAAAAAAUAAAUGAUGUUCCAUCUACUUUAUCUUACAAUUAUCAAUUCAUUACUUCUUUUUUUUUUUUUUUUUUUUUUUUUUUCUUUUCUUUUGUUUUAUUUCUAUAAAAUUUCAUGAUAUGUACAUGUGUUUUUCCAUCUUAUUGGUUUCUAAAUGUUAAAGAAUUAAUAAAACAUAAAAUAUAAAAUUAAAAUUAAAAUUAAAAAUAUAUACUUUAUAAAAUUAUUUUAAAAUAGUAUUUAAAAUCUAAAAAAAAUAACAAUAAAAUAACUAAAUAAGAAAAAAAAAUAACAACAAAAUAAAAAAUAACAACAAAAUAAGAAAACAACUACAAGAUUGUUUUUAAAUGUAUUAAAUUUGAUUUUGGAAAUCACAAGGCACUUUAUACAUGGAAGCCUACUUCGAAAGAUUUUGGUUCAAAAAUCAUAUUGAAUUUUUGCACUUAGUAAAGAAAAUUUUUCUUUUUUAUAUCUUAACUUUUUACUUUAAUAGAAAGUGAGAGGAGACCAUGAAAUAGACAUCUUUUACAUUUGAUUUUGCAAAUUAUGAUGUGCAUGCUUUGAACGUUUGAAUAACCAAAAAAAGGCAAUCUAAUUACUACCUUGAAUUUUCAAUAAAAAAGAAUGAUAAGAUUAAUUUCCUGAAACCUUAUAAAAUAUCAUAAGUAAAAAAAGAAAAAAAAAGAAAAAAACUCAAAGAUGACUCUUUAAUCACACAUAAAAUCCCAUCCGAUUUUGAACUACAUGGAUCAAAUUCUCCAUCAAAUUAGUAGUAUUGCGAGGAGUGAGUAAAAAGCACCAAAUAGUAAGCAAUAUCCAGCUUUGUUUUAAACCCUAGAAAUUUAAGACCUCAAUUCUGAACUUGAGCAUUGAUCGCCCGUAAAUGGGAUCUGGGGUUCGCUGGGCACUCGUGGCCCCUCUGUACCGGGCGGAACGAGCGGUGUGUUCAGGGCUCGCCAAACGGCCCUGCAGCGGAGCCGUUGCGGGUGCCCCGUUGUCAGAGCUGGGCGGGGAAGAACGGGUAGGUUAGGGAGCCGUUGGAAUAACCCCUUCAGUUCGAACCUGGGACGGGUAGCGAGGCCGGGAAUCCCACAGCACAGAUACCGGCCUCGAGGCCGCAAUCGCCACCUGCAUUUGGCUCAUCCAUCCCACCCGGUAUGACAGUGCCUUGGCGACCACUGGUCUUUGACCGGUUUGUCCGCACCGACCGAGCCGGCGCCAGGUGGAUCCACGUGGUUUGUCCUUCGUCGUGCUCGGAUACAGAGGAGAUUAGUGUGGAGUGAGUAAUAGUGUGAGUGGUUUCAAAAACACUCUCAGGUUUGCUUGAUUACCUGUUCUGUAUUUUGUUUAUAUAUAUAUAUAUAUAUAUAUAUGCUUCAAAUGGAAAAUUAGACGCUUUGAAAAUUACUAAUACUAUUAGCUACGAUACAGUAUUGAAGGACAUGAGAAAUUGAAAUUAAAAUCUAUUUCAAGAUGUCUAACAUUGAAUUCUAAGCUAAAUUAAGACCACAUUGUUUAAAAUUUGAUUAGGUUCAAGAAGAUGUGAUUUGUGUAUGAAUUAAAUUGUGAAAAUAUUGAGAAUCAAAACAUGGAUUUUAGUUUUUUUGUUUGAUUACGAACUAUGGAGUUUUGGAAAAUAAUAUCUCAUUAUUUAUAUUCAUAUUUUUUUUAUUUUAUUUCUUUCUGAAACAUAAUAUGAAAUAAGUACAUGUCUGAUAAAUAACUCAGUAUCAUCAUAGCACCAAAAGUUGUUGAUUUUUGUAACGUAUCAGCACAUUACAUUUUACUUAAAAUCACCAAAAGAUUUACUAUUAGUUUUUGGACUUAUGUUAAUUAAAAAGUCCGCAAAGUAAACUAUUCAAUUUCUAUUUUUUUUUAUUAUAUUACAUAAAAUCAAACAAUUUUUUUUGAAAUAGAUAUCAAACAACAUACAUAUGUUUCUUUUAUAUUAGGCCACAAGAAAACAUACAUAUUAUUUUAUGAUAGUUAUUUCAAAUAAAUAAUACUAGGAUUUGCCUCAUGCAUAAUGCACAAGUUUCUUAAAAAAAAUUUAAAAUAGAAAUUCAAGGAAUAUGUCUAGAGAAGUUUUUGUCGUAUUCUGACUAGGACCUAUUGGGACUCCAAACUUAAAAAAAUUAGUCAAUCUUAUGGCAAUUUCUAGUUCCAUUGGCACCCCUCCUCCACACCCUUCGUGACUUCUUGUCUUAUUGUUAGUCCUUUUCACAUUACACACUUUACUAAAAGAAGUUGGAACUUGAGACCUGAAAAUUAGUCUGACUAGGACCUAUUGUGACUCCGAACCUAUUUUUAGGAAUACAACCGUUUAUUUUACUAUAUGAUAUAUAUAAAAAUAAUCAUAGCCUAAAAUAUUGAAAAAAUAAUUUUGUAACUUUGAGCUUUAUCAAUACCAUAAAAUCCGUGUAGUCAUAUUUCUUAAAAACAUUUUGACAAAAAAUUGAGCAUGAUUUUGUCACAAUACAAUAAAAUUCACUCUUCAAAUACAUUUAUGGAAAUGCAUAGAACAUACUCUAAGUGAAUUAUUUUCUAACACCUUGAAUCUAAAGUUGCUGUAUUUUGAUCAAAAAAUUUUAAAUGGAUUUUCAGAAUCAUUCAGACUGCUUAUUGCAGUGCUGGUGUUCUGUGUAAUUGGACCUUUUCUCCAGAUCAAUAUGCAUUUUAAUCAUUUACAUUAUCUUGUGGAGAUUAUGAUUUUUUAUUAUAUAUAUUUAUAUUAAUCACAAAAAUAAUAUAUCUUUAAAAUGUUGAUAUAUAUAUAUAUAUAUAUAUAUAUACACACACACACACACUCACUAGUAGAAACCCAUGCCAUUGGCUAUAAAAGUUUAAUUUGUGGUUUCUAAGUCAAAAUUGACUAUUCUUAAAAAAAUGUUAAUAAAGAAAGAGAAUAAGAAAAAAAAGAAAAAGAAAAAAUAGACAUGCAUAAAAAUCAAAUUAUUUAUGCAAAUAUAGGGAUUUUAAGAUCUAUUCUUACAUUCUUCAAUGAUUGUUCUUGAGAUUUUUUAAUAAUCAUAGCAAAUCCCAUUUUUAUCAAAAAAUUCCUUAGCUACAACUUGAAUGGAAUUUUUGUAGACGAUGGAUAUGAGUAAUGCUUUGAAGAAAAGCUAAUUGUUCCUUGUAGUCUCUAGAUAACAAUCUUGCUUCUAUAACUUAACAAGCUAGUUACAUAAUGAUCAAGUGUGAUCCAUUACAUAGUCCUUGAUGCAAAGAAUUUUUUUGCAAUAAAGUUAUAAAACAUCGGAUCUUAAGCUCUAAGCUAAAUAGAGGCAAUCUAAGUAGACUUGAACUUUUCAAAUAUUUGAUUAGAUAAUAAUUACCAUUAUUGGCUCUAUCUUCUAUAAUUAUUAUAUGUGCAUUGAAAUAAAUACAUGAAAUUUUAAGAAAUCUCUUCUCUAUACACUUAUUUAAAUCAUCAACCUCAUAAUUUUGUACAAAUAAAAUAGACAUAUUGUUGAAAUAUUCAUUUCCAAGUGCUCUAUCUUUAUCAAAUACUAAAUAGAUAAUUUGAAUUAAAUUAUUUGAUAUUAGAUCUACUUUCAUACAUUCUAGGAGAAUGACCAUGUUUUUAAUGGAUCUACAAUUAUUGAUUUAUUUCUAAUCUACAAAUCAAAGCAAUUUUAAGAUGUAUUAAAUUUAAAUAUUUUAUAAUAAAAAAAUUCUAAUAAGUAACAAUCUUGUAUAAUAUAUAUUUUCAAAAGCUCUUCAAUAAAUAAUCAAUUCUCAUCAAAUUUUAAAGGACAAGAACUUGAUACAAACAAAUAAAUAAGUGAGACUUUUUUCAAAGAAAGAUGACAAAAUAGAAAUAACUAAAUAUGUAUAUUAAGAAAGAAACUAGAAUGGCUAUUUCCAAAAGAUAAGAAAACUAGAGCCCCUUGAAACUAGACUAGAAGUAAGAAAGAAGUUGAAAAGAAUAAAGAAGGCUUUAUCUUUGCCUCUAUAUAUACUAUCUAACUAGGAGCUAUGUGGCGACGUUCUAUAGGACCUCCAAAAACGUGUUGACUUUGUAUAACACGUAUCUUAACUUGCAAGGCAAGAUUUCUCUGUGGACACCAUAUAGUUAGCUUGUUCCACAAGCUAUCAACAUGUGUGGCACAUGGUUAGGUUGUUGACGAAGUUUCUAAUCUACUAAUCAAGUAUAAAUACAUGUAAAGUCAAAGCAACAACUAUGAAGCUUCUAGGAAGCUUUUCUAGAAGAUAUUAUGAAAUUAAUCUACUUUUAUCUACUUCUAGCUAUUCAUAUUACCUAGGUAAUAAUUAUAGUAAACAUAUGUCCAUGACAUUACUGCCCCUUCUAAAGACGAGUUCCAUGAAGAGCGGUGAUCACAUGUUGAGCAAGUCUAAGAUGGAGCAAAUUAUAUUUGCCACAUAUUUUGAUCUUUGUUCUCUGCGAAAAUGAUUAAUAGGGCCUCUCAACCAUCAAUAGUGUCUCAUACCAAGGCGGAAAGACCACCCAAUUAUUUGAUCAUUGUUGAGGCCUUCAUAACUUCCUUUAAAUAAAAUAUUUGGAACACCGUCAAGAGUUGUUCAUACCUCUAGUAAAAUCACCAAACAUCAAAAGUCCCUUCUAAGGUCAUGAUAUCAAACAUGUUGUAUUCCGCCAUUUAUUCAAGGAAGAACAUGUGUCACGGCCAUAAUCAUGUAAGCUAAUAAUUACAUAUAGAAAUAGGUAGAAGUAAGUAAAAGUAGAUAAAAGUAAGUUAAUUCUAUAAUAUUUAAUAUAGAAGCUUCCUAGAAACUUCCUAGAUGCUGCUUUGUCUUCAUAGGUGUCUUUAAUUGACUUUUUGGAUUAGAAACGUGGUCAACAAGUUAGCCAUGUGCCACACAUGUUGUUAGCUUGAAGAUCAAGCUAACUAUGUGGCCCACACGUAGAAAAACUUGCCUUGUAAGUCAAGGCAUGUGUCCUAUAAAGUCAACACAUAUUGGAGGUCCUAUAGAACGUCGCCACGUAGCCCUUAGUUAGAUAGUAUAUAUAGAGACAAGAGUGAAGGCUUCUUCACUCUUGUCAACUCCUUUCUUGCUUCUAGUCCAGGUUCAAGAGUCUUUAGUUUCUUGUCUUGUGGCAAUAGCCAUUCCAGUUUCCUUUUAAUAUACCUACUUGUUUAUAUUUUGACUUAUUAUAUUGAGAUAGCCUUUUGGUGUAUAUUUUCCCUCAUCGAGUCUUUGUCCUUGACAGAUUGACAAGAGUACACUUACAAUAUCAGAGCUUUGUUUUUUCUUGAGUAAGAGUGGAUUAUCCCUUUCUCUUGACAAGACAUAAGCGUAUUAGAAGUUUGCGGAUUACCCACUUCUAAACUGAUAUUGUUCUUAGUAUCUUCUUUGUUAUCAAGUCUUUCUUUUCUUUUGUCUUGAGCAAUAUCAAACAAAUUUUUCUUCUUAGUGUCAUUAUGGCAGAGCUUGUUGAAAUGAAGAGUGCAAUGGCACAAAUGCAAGAGCAAAUGAGGGAGUUAAUGCUUGCGAUGCAUCAACUCAAUUCACCAACACAGGAAAGAACAAGAAUAGCAGAAAGUGGAGAUAUAGAGAUGAACGGAGCUACUUCAACAUCUUCAACAAAUCACGUUCCUUCUCCAAUUGUACAACACCCUAUAAGCACUAGAGAACCAAGAAUUGCCUUACCUGAGAAAUUUGAUGGUACGAGAUCAAAGUUUCGAGGGUUCAUCAAUCAAGUACAAUUGGCAAUUGAACUUCAACUGCAAAGCUAUCCAACUCCAGGAUCACAAGUCAGGUUUAUUGGCACUCUACUUUCUGGUUCUGCAUUAUCGUGGUUUUCGUCUUUUCUUGAACAACGAAAUCCAAUAUUGGACAAUUUGGAAGCUUUUUUGGCGGAGUUUCGAUCUAUGUAUGGUGAACACGAUACAACUCGUGUUGCAACAAAUAAGAUCCGAAUUCUGCGACAAGGAAAUCGCUCAGUAACAGUGUAUGCUUCACAAUUUCGACAACUUGCAAUUGACAUCAAGUGGGAUGAUGCUGCACUCAUUAGUCAAUUUCUUUAUGGAUUGCAAUACGAAGUAAAGAAAUUGAUGCUCAACUUACCUGAUCCUCAAACUUUGAGUCAAGCAAUCGAUUUUGCGAUAAAAUGUGUUAAUCGACUUUUCGAAUUUUGAUCUGAGAAUCAUUCACGGGAACCUCAACAUUAUUACUCAAUGACAACAUCAACAUCUUUGCCAAACGUACAUUCGGAAGUAGAAGACAUGCAAAUUGACGCGGUACGUUUUAAAUCCCUAACUGAGCAAGAAAAGAUUCGUCGUCGUCAAGAAGGAUUAUGUUUAUAUUGCGGAGAACCUAAGCACACUGCUCAACAUUGUCUAAAGAAAUGACGGAACUAUAAAAUGAGGGGUACGACGGUCAAAGAAGACAACAUGUCAGAAAACGGAUUCGUCCAGCUACAAUAGGGACCGUGCAGCUGGAACCUUGUACAAUUCCUAAUGAAGGUCCUAUCCUCUCCUCAGAACCCUCUCCUUGUUUUAUAAUAGACUUAUAUUUAGGACCUAAGAAUUACAAAGCCUCUGCUUUAUUAGAUUCGGGAGCCUCAGCAUGUUUUUUAGAUGAACAAUUUGUUAAAAGUCGUAAAAUAUCCUUUGUACAGAAACCUAAACCAGUACAUGUAGAAGUCAUAGAUGGUCGUCCUUUGUCUUCUGGAGAUGUCACUCAUGAAACUCAUCCUAUAAAAGUAACAAUAGACGGUCAUGAUAGCUACAUAGCUUUUAACAUAAUUAAAUCCCCGUCCAAUCCAGUUAUUUUAGGUUUAUCCUGGCUAGAAAAAUAUAACCCUCGAAUAGAUUGGAAUUCGCAUAAACUUGACUUUUUCCAGAGCGUUAUUAAUAGUUCUACUAACCAAGUAAAAAAUUAUAAGUCUAGUAUAGUAAAAUCCGUACUGAUAGGUGCAAAAGCAUUUAUACACGCAGCAAAAGAAAGAUCAACUUUUGCUAUUUAUACUGCACCUAUUUCUAAAAACGUAAAGACUUCAAGUGGCAUUCCAAGUCAAUAUCAGGAGUAUCAAGACGUUUUUGAGAAAAAGAAUGCAGAUAUUCUUCCUGAGCAUCGUCCAUAUGAUUGUUCAAUCGACCUCAAGGAAGGAACUCAGCCACCAUUUGGACCAAUUUAUAGUUUAUCGCAAGAUGAGAUGGCUGAACUCAAGACAUAUAUUGACGAGAAUUUAGCGAAGAAUUUCAUACGCCAUUCAAAAUCUCCAGCAGGAGCUCCAAUUCUAUUCGUAAAGAAAAAAGAUGGAUCUUUACGAAUGUGUGUUGAUUAUCAAGGACUCAACAAGAUCACAAUCAAGAACAGGUAUCCAUUACCUUUGAUAUCAGGACUCCUUGACCAGUUGAAUCAAGCUAAGAUCUAUACAAAAAUAGAUCUAAGAGGAGCAUAUAAUCUAGUACGGAUCAAAGAAGGAGAUGAAUGGAAGAUUGCGUUUCGAACCAGGUAUGGACAUUUCGAAUAUAAUGUCAUGCCCUUUGGACUCACGAAUGCACCAGCUGCUUUUCAAUAUCUCAUGAAUGAUGUAUUUUGUGAAUUCUUGGACAAUUUUGUUGUCUGCUAUCUAGACGAUAUCCUGAUCUAUUCUAAGAACGUCGAAGAACAUGAAAUACAUGUUCGUCAAGUAUUACAAAAACUUAGAGAUGCAGGAUUGUACGCCAAGAUAGAAAAGUGUGUAUUUCACACUACUCAAGUUGACUUUUUAGGAUACAUCAUUUCAAAUGAUGGUCUCAUGAUGGAUUCUAAGAAAGUCCAAACAAUCAUGGAUUGGAAGAUUCCAAGGAUGGUAAGAGAUGUCCAAUGUUUUUUGGGAUUUGCCAAUUACUAUCGGAUCUUCAUCAAAGAUUUCUCACGAGUUGCAGCUCCACUUACACGCUUGACUAGUAAAGAUAAAUUUCAAUGGAAUCAAGAAGCGGAAGCAGCAUUUGAAGCCUUGAAGACAUCGUUUGUCUCUGCACUAGUCUUAUAUCGUGUUGACUUUUCCAAGGCAUUUUUUAUGAAAACAGAUGCAUCAGAUUUUGCCUUGGGUGCAGUUUUAUCACAAAUGGGAACAGAUGACAAACUUCAUCCGAUAGCUUUUCAUUCAAGAAAAUUCUCAGUAGCCGAGAUCAAUUAUGAGAUCGACGAUAAAGAACUUCUUGCGAUCGUGGAUUCCUUUCAAGAAUGGCGUCAUUAUCUAGAAGGCGCUUCUAGUCCAGUCACUGUGUAUACAGAUCAUAAGAACCUCGAGUAUUUCAUGUCAACACGCGUGUUGAAUCGUCGUCAAGCUCGUUGGAGUAUGUCUUUGUCAAGAUUUGAGUUCAUUAUCACUUAUCGGCCAGGAAAACAACAAGGUUUAUCCGAUGCCCUAUCUAGACGUUCUUAUUUUGCACCAAAAGAAGGAGAUGCAGCUUUUGAGCAACAAAGAACGGUCCUCUUGAAACCGGAGCAAUUUCAUCUCCGAGCAAUGAAAUCAACAUUGACUGUUGAUUCAACUUUUCUCAAGCAAAUCCAGUCCAGUAUGUCCUCAGACCCUCUUGUUCAUGAUAUCGAGAAUAAUUCUUCCAAGUCUCAUGAUCCUUCUAAGUUCGAGUUCAAGAAUAAUCUAUUAUAUUUUGAAGGACGCCUAUAUGUUCCAGAAGGAGAAGCAUGUUUACGUGUUCUUCAAGCACGUCAUGACUUUCCAGCAGCAGGGCACUUCGGAUAUAAUAAGACUUUGGAACUCAUAUCAAGAGAUUUUUGGUGGCCACAAAUGUGGAAGUCAGUCAAAGACUUUGUACAAUCAUGUGAUAUUUGUUCAAGAUCAAAAAUUCCUCGUCAUCGACCUUACGGACUUCUUCAGCCAUUACCUAUACCAGAACAACCAUGGUCUUCUGUUUCUAUGGAUUUCAUCACAGAUCUUCCAAGCUCAAGAUCUUAUGAUUCUAUAUUUGUGAUAGUAGAUCAUUUCACCAAGAUGGCACAUUUUGUGCCAUGUACAAAAUCUAUCACAGGUGAAGAAACAGCUAAGCUUUUCAUUGAUAAUAUCUAUCGCUAUCAUGGAUUACCUAAAGAUAUCAUAUCAGAUAGGGGAACUCAAUUUGUGUCAAGAUUUUGGAGGACCCUUUUCAAGAUUUUAAAAGUGGACAUAAAGCUAUCUUCGGCUUUCCAUCCUCAAACUGAUGGACAAACAGAGCGCGUAAACCAAGUCUUGGAGCAAUAUUUAAGGUGUACUAUCAACUACCAACAAGAUGAUUGGACAACCCUUCUGCCAUUGGCAGAGUUUGUUUAUAAUAAUAUGGUACAUUCUUCCACGUAACAAACACCUUUCUUUGCCAAUUUUGGCUAUCAUCUAGGACUUGAUACUUUUGAUUUUUCAAAAGUUGAUAAUCCUGCAGCAGAAGAUAUGGCAAAUCGGUUGUCAGAGUUACAUGCAAUAAUGAAGACGCAAUUGAAGGAAGCUCAAGAACGACAAAAGAUAAACGCAGAUCUAUAUCGUAAAGAGCAACCACAACUCAAUGUGGGUAAUAAGGUAUGGCUACUUCGUCGCAAUAUCAAGACUACUCGACCUUGUGACAAGUUGGACUAUCGUAGGCUUGGCCCCUUUUCUGUUUCUGAACAGAUCAACCCAGUUGCAUAUCCGUUACAUCUACCGGAGUCAAUGAAGAUCCAUCCUGUAUUCCACGUGUCUCUUCUUGAACCAUAUAAGACAGUGGAUAUACAAGGAAGAAGACAAAUGCCACUGCCUCCUAUAGAAGUAGAUAAUAAUGAAGAAUUUGAGGUGGAAGAGAUAUUAGACUCAAGGCGGUGCCGAAAUAAGCUGGAAUAUCUUGUUCAUUGGCGCGGAUAUGAUAUUAGUGAACGCACAUGGGAGCCAUUUAGGAAUCUAACAAAUGCAUCAGCUAAAGUCAAAGUUUUUCAUCAACGACAUCCAUCGAAAUCAAGAUGAAAAUCUCUCUUAUAAAAGAGACAAGAUUGAGGCAAGAUAACAUUCAAUUUCCUAUCCUUGUUUGUAACUUCUUUGCAUUUGUGACGCUAAUUAAAUGGAGAGCCAACAACCAGCGGAUUCAACUCAAGAACCUUCGUUUGCUGACCUACCGGAUGAGACAUUACGAUUGUCACAACCUUCAAGACGACGCAAUCGAGAUGAAGAUCUUCAAGAACGACAUGUUCUUCCUCGAAUAGAUGGUGAGAUACAACGCGUUUGGUAUCACAAUUUGGGAAGGGACUCCCGAUGUUUGGUGAUUUUGCUAGAGGUAGGAACAACUCCUGAUGGUGUUCCAAAUAUUCUAUUCGAAGGAAGUUACGAAGGCCUCAACAAUGAUCAAAUAACUGGGUGGUUUUCCCGCCCUGGUAUGGGACACUACCGAUGGUUGAGAGGCCCUAUCAAUCAUCUUCGAAGAGUACAGAGAUCAGAGUAUGUGGCGAAUACAAUUCGUCGCAUCAUAGAUUUCCUCAACAUAUGAUGACCGCUCCUCGUGGAACUCGUCUCUAGAAGGGGGGGUAAUGUCACGGCCAUAAUCAUGUAAGCUAAUAAUUACAUAUAGAAAUAGGUAGAAGUAAGUAAAAGUAGAUAAAAGUAAGUUAAUUCUAUAAUAUUUAAUAUAGAAGCUUCCUAGAAACUUCCUAGAUGCUGCUUUGACUUCAUAGGUGUCUUUAAUUGACUUUUUGGAUUAGAAACGUGGUCAACAAGUUGGCCAUGUGCCACACAUGUUGUUAGCUUGAAGAUCAAGCUAACUAUGUGGCCCACACGUAGAAAAACUUGCCUUGUAAGUCAAGGCAUGUGUCCUAUAAAGUCAACACAUAUUGGAGGUCCUAUAGAACGUCGCCACGUAGCCCUUAGUUAGAUAGUAUAUAUAGAGACAAGAGUGAAGGCUUCUUCACUCUUGUCAACUCCUUUCUUGCUUCUAGUCCAGGUUCAAGAGUCUUUAAUUUCUUGUCUUGUGGCAAUAGCCAUUCCAGUUUCCUUUUAAUAUACCUACUUGUUUAUAUUUUGACUUAUUAUAUUGAGAUAGCCUUUUGGUGUAUAUUUUCCCUCAUCGAGUCUUUGUCCUUGACAACAUGUUGUUCUUAAGGAUCUUCAUCUCGAUUGCGUCAUCUUGAAGAUUGUGACAAUCGUAAUGUCUCGUCUGACAAGUCAACAAAUGAAGGCUCUUGAGUUGAAUUCACUGGUUGUUGAUUUUCCAUCUCCUUAGUGUUACAACUACAAAGAAGAUACAAACAAAAAUUCAUAGUAGAAUGUUAUCUUGCUUAGAGCUUGUUUCUUUUAUAAGGAAUAUUUUCGUCUUGAUUUUGAUAGAUGUCUUUGAUGAAAAGCCUCCACUGCCUUUGCUGCAUUUAUAAGAUUCUUUAUUCACUCCUAUGUGCGUUCACUAAUAUCAUAUCCAUGCUAAUAGACAAGGCAUUCUAAUUUAUUUUGAUGCCGCCUUGAAUCUAGGACUUCUUCCAUUUCAAACUCUUCAUUAUUGUCCACUUUUAUAAGAGGAGGUAAAACUUAUCUUCUUCUUGGUAUGUCGACUAUCUUGUAUGAUUCAAAAAGAGACACAUGGAAUAUUGGAUGGAUUUUCAUUGACUUUGGUAGGUAUAAAUAAUAUACAACUAGAUUGAUUUGUGCAGAAAUAGAAAAUGGUCCAAACCUUUGAUAGUCCAACUUGUCACAAGGACAAGUGAUCUUCAUAUUACGACAAAGUAACCAUACCUUAUCACACAUGUGAAAUAGUAGUUGUUCCUUUUAAUAGACAUCCGCAUUGACCUUUUGUUAUUCUUGAGCUUCUUUUAACUGCACCUUUAUCGUUGCAUGUAGCUUUGACAAAUGAAUUGCCAAAUCUUUUGCAGCAUGAUUAUCAACUUUUGAAAAGUCAAAAGUAUCAAGUCGUAGAUGAUAACCAUAAUUGACAAAGAAAGGUGUUUAUUUUGUAAAAAAAUGUAUCACGUUAUUAUAAAUAAACUCUACCAAUGGCAAAAGAGUUGUCUAAUCAUCUUAUUGGUAGUUGGUGGUUCAUCUUAAAUACUACUCUAAAACUUGAUUAAUACACUUUGUUUGUCCAUCAGUUUGAGGAUGGAAUGCCAAGGAUAGUUUUAUAUUUACUUUUAAAAUUUUAAAAAGAAUUUGCCAAAAUCUUGAUACAAACUAAGUUCUUGUAUUUGAUAUAAUAUCCUUGGAUAGUCUAUGAUAGCAAUAGAUAUUAUUAAGAAAGAGCUUAGCUAUUUUUGCUCCUGUGAUAGGUUUUGUAUAUAGUACAAAAUGUGCCAUCUUAGUAAAACGAUCUACUAUCACGAAUAUAAAGUCAUAAAAACUUGAGAUUGGAAGAUCUAUGAUGAAAUCUAUAGAAACAAAAGACCAUGGUUGUUCUAGAAUGGAUAAUGGCUGAAGAAGUUCAUAAGGUCUAUCACGAGGAGUUUUUGAUCUUGAGCAAACAUCACAAGAUUGCACAAAAUCUUUGAUUGCCUUACACAUUUGGAGCCACCAAAAAUCUUUGGAUAUUAGUUCUAAAGUUUUAUUGUAUCCAAAAUAUUCUGUUGUUAGAAAAUCAUGACAAGCUUGAAAAACAUGUAAUUAAGUUUCACCUUUUGGAACAUAUAGGCAUGCCUCGAAAUAUAGUAGAUUAUUUUUGAAUUCAAACUUGGAGGUAUCAUGAGACUUUGAAGGAUUUUGCUUAAUAACACAAAUAAGAAGAUUAGAAGACAUAGUUGAUUGAACUUGCUUAAUGAAAGUUGAAUCAACAGUUACUGUUGAUUUCAUUGCUCAAAGAUGAAGAUGCUCUAGCUUUAAGAGAAUUAUCCAUUGUUGAUCAAAAGCAACAUCUCCUUCCUUUGCUGCAAGAUAAGAUCGUCCGAAGAAUGCAUCUGACAAACCUUGUUGUUUUUUUAGUCAAUAAGUGAUCUUGAAUUCGAAUCUUAAUAAAGACAUAUUUCAACGGGCUUGGUGAUGAUUCAAAAUACGUGCUGACAUAAAAUAUUCAAGAUUCUUGUCAUCCAUAUACAUAGUGAUUAGGCUAGAAGCAUCUUUUAGAUAAUGGUGCCAUUCUUGAAAUGAAUCCACAAUUGCAAGGAAUUCUUUGUCAUGGAUCUUGUAGUUGAUCUUGGCUACUAAAAAUUUUAUAAAAUGAAAAGUUAUUAGAUGAAGUUUAUCAUCUGUUUCCAUUUCUGACAAUAUAGCACCAAAAGCAAAGUUUGAUACAUCUGUUUCUAUAAAAAAUGGCUUAGAAAAAUCGACGCGAUACAAGAUUGGUGCAGAAACAAAGUCUAUCUUCAAAGCUUCAAAUGCUACUUCCGCUUCUUGAUUCCAUUGAAGUUUGUCUUUACAAGUCAAAUGUAUAAGUGGACUUGCAACUUGAGAGAAGUCUUUGAUAAAGAUCCGAUGGUGGUUGGAAAAUCCCAAAAAGCAUUGGACAUCUCUUACCGUUGUAGUAAUACGUGAAGUCUUGCUUGAGAAUGCUCCAGGCACCUGACUGUAGAAGGUAGAAUGAAAAUUGUAACAAGAAAAUCCUUACUCUAAUAGAAUACUAACUAAAUUCUAAUUAGACCAUAAUAAUAUUAAACAAGCUUUAAUCGAAUUCAAAGAAACCUCAAAGAAAUUUCAAAGAAAUAAUAAGAAAUCUUAAAGAAACAUUAGAAUGAUCACAAAUAUAUCUCAAAUAUAUCUCAAUUUAAUCUUAAUUUAAUCCUAGUUAAAAUCUUAUUGUAAUUCAUUCAAACUUUAGGCCAAAAACUAACUAAAUCUUAAAUCCUAAAUAAAUCCUAAUAAAAUCUUAAAUCCUAAACCAAACCCUAAAUCCUAAAUCAAAUCCUAAACCAAAUCCUAAAUCCUAAAUUAAAUCCUAACCAAACAAUAAAUCCUAAAUCAAAUCCUAAAUCCUAAACCAAAUCCUAAAUCCUAAAUCAAAUCCUAAAAAAACCUAAAUCAAACCUUAAAUCCUAAAUCAAACCCUAAUCAAAUCCUAGUAAUUCCUACAACAGAUUUAAACGUCAAUAACUAAUAAAUUAAU
This 77013-nucleotide long non-coding RNA is filed under the name Physcomitrium patens. Its description in RNAcentral is "long non-coding RNA (PPAT_LNC001315)". The record is from RNAcentral. Lineage: Eukaryota; Viridiplantae; Streptophyta; Bryopsida; Funariales; Funariaceae.